RNAcentral lists this long non-coding RNA (76723 nucleotides) under Elaeis guineensis (African oil palm). RNAcentral's name for it is "long non-coding RNA (EGUI_LNC022073)". Lineage: Eukaryota; Viridiplantae; Streptophyta; Magnoliopsida; Arecales; Arecaceae. The record is from RNAcentral.
UCGACACCUUCUUAUACAAUCAGUUGUACCUUUACAUAAUCACGAACAAAUCUAAAAAUCAUGCACGAUUAAAGAUAAAAAAAUUAUAAAAAUAUCCCUAAAUAUCAUAAGUUUAGAACCUCUUCAAGGAUCAAUCAAGAUCUAGAUUUGUCUAACUAUCUAGACCCUCUAUUGGUCCAUAAAAUUCUAGAGAGAAAAUCAUGAAGAGAGAGAAAAAAAUCUAGAUCCAGAAAAUUUUAGAAAGAGAGAUUAGAGAGAAAAAAUAGGGAGAGAAAUCGAUAGAGAGAGAAAAUAGAGGGAGAAUAGAGAGGAGAGAGAGAAGAGAGUAGUUUUUUUUUUUUUUUUGUCUUCUUUUUCUUUUUUGCUUUUUUUUUUUUUCUUUCCCUUUCCUGGUUUAUUUUUCUCUUCUUCUUCGUUGAAUCAAGGGAAGAGAGGGUCUCAAGCCGACCCACCUUCCAUGGACUUGGCUUUCUCCGGCAGCGCCUCGGGUGGCUACCGCAAGGAUGUUUCUGACCCUCGAUGACCGGAGCAAGGCCGUCUUCAGCAACGGCGGCCGAUCCUGUGGAAGGAAAAUCAAAAGAAAAACAAGGAAGGUUUGGUGUCCCACGAAAUCCGGUGGCCGGAGAUUAAAUCCGGUAGUCAAACUCCUAGUGGGGUUCGGGAAAGAGAGGAGGAAAGAAAAGAAAGGGUCCUUGCCUCGUCUCCGAUGAGAAAUCGGCAGCGAUUCUCUGAGGAACACACGGCGGAGAAUGGUAGAAAUCGCACAGCGUCGCCGACGAUUUCCCGCAGAUUUGGGGGUUUCAUUAAGGAGGAUGAGAGGGGAUUUAUAGGUGGGGAUCUAGGAUUUUCCCGGGAGUUCGAUUGGUCUUGGAAUCUCUCUCCCGAUCGAACUCGGAAGAGGAGAGAAGAAGGAAUCCAUCGGAACUCCUCUUCCGCUUUUUCUUUUCUUUUUUGGUUUCUUUUUCCUGCUUUGAGAGUCGUGAAAGGGAGUGUAGGCUUAGGUUUUUUUUUUUAAACAGGUUAUUACACCUUUUGUUUGCUACAUAUCAUAUCCAAAUAACACAGUUGCCGGCCCCAAAGUAUUUGGAUUCAUGCGCUAAUCUAACUUCAUAAUAAUCCAGGAAUGUCCUCUCACCUUUAUGAUCAAAUGAAAUGGUUAGAAGAGGAACAAGUUUUUCAUCUCAGCUCAUUUUAUUCCACAAAAAUGAACUAUUGACAUUUUUUCAUUCCCCCGUGAAAGGUUUUGGCUAGCUGGGAAUAAGGUUUAUUGCUGGUUGCAUCAAACAUCUAUCAUCAAACACAACGUUGUAAUAGCAAGGUUUAAAUAAUGGCACCCCAUCGUUGCAACACUUUCGCCAUCCUCCCAUAUAUAUAUAUAUAUAUAAUAGAGAAAAAAAUAAGAGCUAUUUUAACGCAUUAUAUGUUUUUAUUAACAGUUUGCUAUAAUAUAAACAAUGGCCCUUAUUUUCUCCUGUACGUAUUUCAAUAAAAUGUUCUCUUUUGAAACAUGCAAAUUGUUCAUCAAAUUUUUCCUCAGAGGUGAUUGCAGAAUCCAAAAUAUAUAUAUAUAUAUCCAUGAAAAGAUAAUUUCGUCCGUUGAAUUCCUGUUAUUGCCUGUUACUUUCCUUCAUUCAUUAUAACAAUGACUACGUCUAAUAUAACAAUUUAAAAUACUACUUUUGAGGCAAAUAGUAGUCAUUAUGGCCAUUAAUCGGUAGCAGUUCUGUUCGGUACUGGGAGAGAGAACUAUCUUGCCGUGCAGACCUCGUUGGUGGUUAACAAAAACCCUUCCAGUCCAUUUUGAAAACCAGAAAGCAUCGUGUGUGUGUGUGUGUAUAUAUAUAUAUAUAUAUAUCAAGCACAUAAAGCCAAGUCUCACGUUCAGGACAUGCAACGCUUGCACCCUGACGCCGUCACGUGCAAAGACCACGGCAAAGAGCUACAACCACUCCGAUGACUUGCACGUGAAGAUGCCCGAGGACUGGUGACACAACCCUGAUGCUUUGAUAGGCAUACCCUAAGAUCACGCGGUGCCAGAUGUCAGAAUAGUAGUACAUCAGACCAGAGAUUUUAUACGUGAUAGCUCGAGAUGGCACUGGUACUAACCAGCUGAUGCUUUAUGAUCUCAAUAGCGUCACCACAAGCCACCAACGACGUUUCAAAAACACGCAUCGUUAAACAUGCCAGCAAGCUGAUGCUUUGGUAAUGGUAAAGAGCAUCGCCCGAGUUUCCACAAGCAUGCUACUUUGAGAAAGCAAAUGGGCCAUGGAAUCCGCUACAACCAGGAACACCUGAACAAGGCAUGACCUCACAUAACUUCCACCCACCUUCCCAUUGGAUUCCACCUUCUACGAGCCUUUUAAUGUACGGCAUGAAAGAGGAGAAACUUUUGCUGCUGAAAUCCAAGCAGAUACAUCUUUUUUUCCAAAGUAAAUGAAGUAAGGUUCUUCCUCCCAAAAAUUAUUGAUUAAUAAGUCUCUAUUGCAGGCAGCACUCAGAAUCCCCACGCCAUUCUUCAAUCCAAUAACAGGAUUCAAGGCAGCUGGGAGAUACCAAACAUGAUAGCAGCAAAAGCACCAUGCAACCACUAGUUCGACAGUCAAAUCUGCGAGCUAUUCGCCUACUCAUGGACAGACAAGUGCUCUAAGCCAUUCAAACCAGACUUAAGCUUCCUUGCACUACCUGCUGAAAGUGAAAUAGUUAAUGAAUAAAAGUACAAACACCAAAUUCGUGAUGAAAAGAAAAAAGAAAUGGAGGGAAUGAUUUUUAAAAUUGUUAAAGUAAUUGAGGCCAUCCCUUCUCCUGGUCAAUAAUGUUUUGUGCUUGGUCCAAAAAUACCCACGACCUUUUAGCUCUUCCUUAUAGUUUGGAAAUAGCAAGAAUUAAAUCAUUUUCUCUAAUAAUUCAUGGAUGGGAAAAUUGAAGAUGCGACAUAGCCGUAAAUGUCAACAUUUGGUUCAAUCUUCACCUCCAUAAGAUCUGUGAAUAGCUUUGUUAUCAAAGGACGAAAAAUAAAACAUAACGGCACGGUGUAAACAAAAUUUUCUAUGAUAGGAAGUUUUCCCUAACGAUGAUUCUUGGUCGCUAGUCAGUGAGUGAUGUUUUAUACCCUACUUAAUUCCUGAGUGCAGAUAUGACCGGACUUGGAACACAUUCAUAUCCAAAAAGCUGGUAAAUUCAACCAAUAGUGAGUUAUAUGUGGCAUCAACAUUUGUUUAAAGGAAAAUCAUGGCAUACUUGUGCGGUCAAAAAUAUAUACGAGCAAAAAAUGUGGGACUCGAGGCUUCAGAACGUUUCGUCAUCUUCUCUUCCUUCUCUUACUGUGCCUUUCUUUGCUUUCAGAACUUGGUUCGGAAUCUGACUCUGAACCCGAUUCAGAGCCUGAGCCACUCGAACUCGACCCCUUGGAACUCUCAGAUGCUUCAUCUGAACCCAAAGCAGGUUUCUGCUGCUGCAUUAUGAGGCGAGGCAUAUUUUUCAAAUAUUCUCUCAAGUUCUCUGUGAUGCCACCCAGUCCAAUGGAUGUGAAAAAAUUGAUAACAAAUCUUAUGUUUUUUGGGUUAUCUUUGGGGAAAAUAGACUCAAAUGAAUCUUGCAUGGUGGGAUCAUUUAGACGUUCAUUUAGCAAACGAAUGCCGAGAUGGUCCGACAAUUCCUGCAUUACAAUUACACGUAACUUCAAAUUUAGAAGCAUCCAAAGAAAUGAAGAAAUGGAAUUCCAUAACCCUAGAUGCAUACCUGGAAGAGAAUUUUUAUGAAAAUUCGUGAAGAAGAUGUUGUAUCCUCCUCUGUCAAGCGUAUAUAGGCUAGAACAUGCCAGGGAAGUGCACUGGUUCCAAUUAAAUGAGCAAAUAACUUAGCCAAAUUUCGUAGUUUAUUUGUUUCAAGUCAAUGUAUCAUGGAAUACUGUUGCACCAAGCAUUUCUCAAAGUUUUCCUGGUAGACUUUAUUGAUCAUGCAAAACCUCUGUCCUAGAAGCCCAUAAUAGUGAAGAUAUGUUCUCUCUUGGCUGCAACACUCUAGCAGCAUCAUGCAUAAUUCCAUCUGUAGUGCCAACAAAAAGAAUAGCAGAUGAGUAAAGAAGGGGUGCAAGUUUGCUAAUUCAUUUUAUUGCUUAAAACAAGCAAAAUACUUGACGAAAAUAAGUGGAGACAAUUAAAAAGCAUGCAAAUGGCAAAGGGGCGAAUAUUUCUCUCAAAAAUCAAAGCAAAAAAAUGUAGACAUAAUUCAGAUCAGACUUGUAAUAAUAAUCAUUUAAUAUGAACCUUAACUUUUAUAGGUUUCUAUGAAUACGUCUUGUGAAUUGAAAAUCCAUAACACCAAUUGCUACAGGAAUACGAUUUAAUUGACCCAUGCUUGUUUGAACAGCUUCAGUUAACCCUGUUUUUUCUUUGAUAUUAACUGAUAUGAUAUCUACACAGUUUCCCCUCUGAAUAUAAUUUGCAGUUCAUGGAGACCACACCAUCAGCCAUAGGAUCACCAAGUGACCAGAUAAUAGAAAUUUAGAAAACUUUUACAGCAUUUCUUCCAAAUUCCUAUUGCCGAUAACUCCAUUAAUGUUGAUUUUUUUAAGAUUCUUUUUCACUACCCUGUCAGAUCACCUAGGUCCCUUACUCUUUCUGAACCUUCUGAGACCACACUUAUUGAUGCUCUGUCUAGUUACUGGACACAGCAUAUAAGCUUAAAGCUCGAGACUUCUUAUUUAUCCAUCGUAGCAUUGCCACACCAACAAUGCAAACAUUUCACGGGCAACAAACCCAAUGGUAUAAAAAGAAGACAAAAGAGAGAGAGGCAGUGUAACUAAGAGGAAGGAGAAUAUAGUUUGUGGAGUUUGCCACAAAAAUCAAGAUAAACUAGAGAAAUCCAUCUCAGUAUAAGAAUAAAUUUUUUUCUCAGUCAACAGAGAGUUUAGCACAACUUUGCCACCAGAGGUAUGCCUCCUAGAGAACAACAGACACCGUAAUAAUUCAUCAAUGCUUUAAAGCAUAAGGCGCAGUUACAUGCUUUAGAUCCAGCCCUUGAAUAAUCACACCCCAAUGUGCAUGUAUGCAAGCAAUUAGCCCUAGAAAUUUGUUGUUGUUACUACAUAUACUAAAAAAUGCAUGUGUAUAAGCAGACAAAUGGACAAGGCUUGCAAGUGAACUCCCUCGUAUAUAACAUGGUGCUUGUUGCUUGUUGCUUGAUUGCAUGCUCAAAGAUUUACUUGUCAAUCUACAUUAUACCAUGCCAUAUGACAUGUUGUGUGUCAGAAGGCUGCUAGCACAUUGAGUGGGGUGCAUACUUUGUACAAGCCACAUAUAGAUGGACAUUGGUUCAGACAAGAUUUGCUGUAUCGAUACCGGACGGCGUGCCGGUGCCAGACCGAUACGGUACCGUACCGAUACCGUACCGAUACACGGUACGUCCAAGCGUACCGGUCCGAUACCGAUACACAAUUUUUUUCGAUUUUCAAUUUUUUUUUUAAUUUUUAAAAUUAAUAAUUAAUAAAUACAACCUCAAUAUGGCAUUAUAUUGCAUAUUAUUGACAUAUUUGGAUUCAAUUUGGAGUUAAGUUGCGGUACAAAGACUCUUGAUCCAAAAUUUCAAACAUAUAUUUAUUUACAUUAUAUUUCAACUAUGUCAUCUUAAAACUAAAAAAAAUAUAUAUAAAAUACGUAUUAAAAUAUAUCUAAAUAUUUAAGUACAAAGCGCAAUAACUGAUAUACGAACCUUAAGAUGUACUCUGCAUUUAAUUUCUUGUCGAGUGUCUGUGACGCUCGUAGAUAUCUGGAUCAUAAACAUAGUCUGAAGGAACAUCAGUCCAACCCUCUAGCCAAGCUGCACCAUACUCUCGAAUAUUCAUCAUCCCAUAAGGCAUCCUCUCUGGAUUAUAAGACAUCUCAGACCUCUCGCUAAAAUUCUGACUCUGAGAAGUAUCCUCGAGAUGAUGGUACGGUUGUGGAGGAGCCCAUCCAAAUAUGCCAGUAGCAAAAUCUGAUCCGUAAGAUGCUCCAAACUGCAUAGGGUAAUAACCACUAGAAGAUGAUGCCUCGGAUGCACCAUAUGCAUAUGGAUCAUAAAGUGGCUGUGGAUAAUAGGAUCCAUAAUGUGAGGAUGAUCCAGAUACAUCCAUGGACCCUACUCCACGUGCAAGNNNNNNNNNNNNNNNNNNNNCUCAUAAACGAUGGUCUCCUGUCUCCAGUUCCUCCCUGAUCAUCAAAUCUAUGGCUACUACUACCAGUAUCAUCAUCACUCUCCCUGAUGUCCGUAUCUGAACCAGAUAGCUCCUGUACUCUCGAGAGUGGUGUACGUGCAACUGUUUUUUCCUUUCCUCCCCUUGUGCCCCUCUGUGACUGAGUUUCCUAUGAUUGGGAGGAUAGAUGCUUUCUUGCUGGCUGCCGGGAGGAACGUCUAUACAUCUCUCACUCGAAUCUCUGAAAAGAUGUAUCGGAUAGCGAGUCAUGUGAUGAAUGAGUCCCUUGUGUCCCCUCAGACUGUGGCUGAUCAGCUGGAACCCUAUGUGAAAUAUUUUUUUCUGCCCAUUAUCCUGGAUCCACCCUGAUCUCCCUUGCCACCACACUGGCUGGUCGUGGAGGGGAUCCUGGCUCAUCAAGCUCUAGCUCCUGCUGCUGACCUGCAAGCCAUCCGAUGAUCGGAUCGUCAUCCUCGUCGGCAUAAUCAUCCAGUGUCGGAUCAGUGUACUUCAACUGAACUUCCUCCUGAAUACAUUUUAGCCUCAACCUCAGAUUGUAGUGAACAUAUACAAGAUCGUCGAGGCAUUUUUGUGUCAGAUGAUUUCUCUGUUUGCUGUGGAUAAGGGCAAAAGUGGAUCAAUUACGCUCACAGCCACUAGCAGAGACCGUCUGAGAAAGAAUACGGACAGCCAUAUGUCUCAAAUUUUCUGCUGACGUUCCAAAAUGAAUCUACCAUUCAACUACAAAAGCAAAAUUACAUAUCAAAUUUGAUGAUAUUAUUAAGCAAAAUUACAUAUCAAUCUACAUUGCUCAUUAUUGAUAUGUAAUUUACCUAGAUUCAUCUGUUUUUUUGCUUACGACAGCUGAUGGGACUCCAAACUAUCUGAUCCCUCUCUAAAUUAUUUCGUCUGAAAUAAAAUAUAUUUAUUAUUUAUAAAUAUAUCAGAUCGAAUUUAGUUGAAUAAUUACAUCUGUUUUAAACUAGCAUACCUCUUGCAGACACAACGACUCGAUUUCUGGAUCGGGCACCAUCUUAUAUAUAUGACAUUGCGAAGAGCAGCAAGAAGCUCGCUAUCCAUAUCUAUCCCCGGAAUAGUAUACUGAAAUUUCAGAUUCAAAUAAUAAGCUACAGAUUAAUUUCAAGACUGAUUAAGCAUAAUUUUAUUUUCAUACUUCGAAAAAAUAUUUUAAAACAUUCUUGAAUCCAAACUUAUCAGCUAGAUGCAAAUCUCUGCCCAUCUGAUAGUCCCAACGGCGCCCAAUAAUGUUAAUAAAUUCUUGAGCAUGCUAGGGAUCAUUCUCACUGAUCUGUUUCUUUGCCCUCUCCAUCAUGUAAUAUAGGAAGCCCAUCUAGGGGUAUCUCUCGCUGUCCACGGCGCGAAACACCUCAUAUAAAGGCUUGAUAGCCUUCACUAUCUUCUCAGCCCGCUGCCAAAAUGACUGACUCAUCACCAAGUUCUCCACAUGACUUCCAUCAAUGCCGGCCCUCGCAUAUCUGCUCUCCUGUCACUUAGCACUAACAAACAUCUGACGUAGAGCUGUUUUCUUCUGAAGAAGACUAUCAAGUGCUAUGUAGUUGGUAGCAAACCGUGUGAUACCCAGUCGUAAGAUCUUCCCCCCCCAGUAUACGUCCGCAUCAAUGAAAGAACCCAUGUGUGGUUGUAAAUGAAUCUAGUCAUGGUCUGGGCAAUCUCCACUACCUGCUACACCCUGCAAAUCUUUCCGAUAUCCAUCAAUAUAAGAUCAAUGCAAUAUGCAGCACAUGGGAUCCAGUAUAUCUGCGGUCNNNNNNNNNNNNNNNNNNNNUGCACGACAUGCUGCUACCCACUGAAUCAAUCACCUUUCCAUCAGACCAAGGAUAUAUGUGGCAUCGUGCAUCUUAUCUGAAGCAUCGAUUGAUUUGUAAAAAAUAUUUUUCCAUCACAGGAUGUCAAAAAUUAAUGAUGCUCCGCCUAGUAGGACCUGUCCAACCAUCACACAUCACUGUCAGACCGUAUGUAGGCCAUUUAUUUUUGUAAGAAGCAAUCCAUCUCUGCAGAUCCUCCUUAUUGCUGUCAAGAAGCUGAUCAUAGAUGUCCUUAGGUCCUGAAAGAUCUACACCCUGCCAGCAGCCUCUAUGACUGAAAUAGCAUAUCGGUAGUAAGGAUUGGCUGCUGCAUUUGCUGGAAUAUAGCUGAAAUGAAACCAUGAUCCAAUAACUCGCCACAUAUCCUUCUUCUUAUCUUUUUUCAGCAUACUGUCAAUUCUCUGCUGCUUUGAAUCCUUGCUGGGCAAAGCAUGUGGAUCCAAAUCCUGAAUGCUGGCUCCUGCUGGAAUAUCUCUGGAGGACCUCCUCCUACUACCAAAAGCUCCCAACAAAGAAGACAUGCUGCAUCUGCUCCCUCUACCACCAGGCUCUCUGACUGAGGUAGUCCUCCUGAACUCGAAUUCUCCCCUACCAGUCGUUGAUCCAGAUCCUGAUUCGUAGCAUGAUGGUCCGAAUCGGUUUCUGUACCGGGCCAUCUCCUCCUGCUGGUACUGAUCCGCCAAGCUCGCAUGAAUGGCAACCUCAAUCUGUGCCUCCUCAUCAUCUGAAGCAGAAGCCUCCUCUGACUCUCUAGAGUGAUAAGAAGGUGGCUCUGCAGCUCGACGGUCUACUACGAUCUUUUUCUGCUUUGCCCUUUCCUUCACUGCUUUCGAAUCAGCAAAGUACUUUUUCAUCGAUUGUCGGACCUCUUGCGGACAUUUCUGACACAUGGACAUAUCAGGAUAACCACCAGCUAGANNNNNNNNNNNNNNNNNNNNNNNNNNNNNNNNNNNNNNNNNNNNNNNNNNNNNNNNNNNNNNNNNNNNNNNNNNNNNNNNNNNNNNNNNNNNNNNNNNNNNNNNNNNNNNNNNNNNNNNNNNNNNNNNNNNNNNNNNNNNNNNNNNNNNNNNNNNNNNNNNNNNNNNNNNNNNNNNNNNNNNNNNNNNNNNNNNNNNNNNNNNNNNNNNNNNNNNNNNNNNNNNNNNNNNNNNNNNNNNNNNNNNNNNNNNNNNNNNNNNNNNNNNNNNNNNNNNNNNNNNNNNNNNNNNNNNNNNNNNNNNNNNNNNNNNNNNNNNNNNNNNNNNNNNNNNNNNNNNNNNNNNNNNNNNNNNNNNNNNNNNNNNNNNNNNNNNNNNNNNNNNNNNNNNNNNNNNNNNNNNNNNNNNNNNNNNNNNNNNNNNNNNNNNNNNNNNNNNNNNNNNNNNNNNNNNNNNNNNNNNNNNNNNNNNNNNNNNNNNNNNNNNNNNNNNNNNNNNNNNNNNNNNNNNNNNNNNNNNNNNNNNNNNNNNNNNNNNNNNNNNNNNNNNNNNNNNNNNNNNNNNNNNNNNNNNNNNNNNNNNNNNNNNNNNNNNNNNNNNNNNNNNNNNNNNNNNNNNNNNNNNNNNNGGAGAUCUCAACGGUUUCGUUGAGACCUUCGCAACUUUCGGACCCUCGGGAGUUCUCUGAGACAUCUCAGAGAACUCCAAACAUGCUCCCUUUAUGCAUGUGGUCUCCGACCCCACCCCCCUCUCCUCCUCACUUUAUUCACAUGGGACGGUCAGUACGGUUCGGUUCAUGCCGAACCGAACCGAAACGAACCAUACCGUUCGGUUUUGGAUGGUAUGGAAACGAAUCGGACCGAACCGCUCGGUUCAGUGCGGUUCGGGGUGUUUCUCGAAAAAAAUAUCCGAACCGGACCGUUAAAGCACCAGUCCGGCUCGGUACGGGCCGGAACGUCCCGUACCGGCCGGUUCGGGCCGGUACGGCAAACCUUGGGUUCAGAUCUACGUGUGUCAUAGGGAAUCACAGCAACAUACUGUAAUAAUUAUUACAGCACAAAACAGUCUAUCAAACAAAAUUUACUGUUACGGAAUGUUUUGACAUCCGAUAAUUAUGUUUUAGUUUCAUGUAUAACGUUAACUAUUAAGCAUGGCUUUAAAUAAUGGUGUUAUAACCAUUAUAUAACGGCCAUUAUAGAGGGUUUGGGGCACCCCCAUAUUCCAUUAUUGAGAUAAAUAACAUGGCAACAUAUAAAGGCUCCUAUUUUCUGUUAUUUUCCAUUAUUUCCCAUAAAAAUGAACCAUUCUAACAUAUUUAACAGCCCUUUUUGAGAUUGUACGGUCAAAAAUAUUAUUUUUAUCUAAUGACAAGUGAAGGGAAAGAUAAUGCCCUUUUUUUUGUUAUUUCCCAUUACAAUACCAUUAUAGAAACCUCUACUUCAGUGAUUAUUUCAAAUUUCAAUAUUAAAAAUUAGAAAAGUUGCUCUUCUAAUUAUAAUGGUCAAUAAUGUUUAGGUGGUGGUCUGUUAUAAUGGGACAGUGCAUCGUUUAAAACCUAGAUAUUUAAUUUUUGUUUACAGAAAUUAGUUCUAAUAGUCAAAAUUAAUAAGUUUUCACAAUGAAAUUCCGUCUCUGUUUUAGUCUCUCAGAUUAUUAUAACCUAUAUUACAUUAGUUCCAGCAUUUAUUUCCUUGCAUAUUGUGAUAUACAGGUUCAUGAUUUGUUCAUCAGGGGGAAAAAACAUGUUUCACAUUUCAUUUGACUUUAAAACAUGUUUCACUUGACUUAAAACACUACAUGGAAGAGUCCAAGUUCUAGUCUGAGUAUCCAAAAUAUUUAUUUUUACUGUAAGGAAAAAAAUUAGUAGCACAAGGGGCAGAAAUAAAAAAGUAAUUGAAUAUUUAAAAGCUCUAUGCAUAUCUUUACAUGAAGCAACAACCAGAGCAAUGAAAUAGCCAAACAAGCUUCCACCACCACUCUAUAUCUUUUACCAAUAUCUAUACAACUUUAAAGCAUAUCUUUUUCUUGGCCUAUGAAGCAGUUACUGCUGUCUGACUUCGCAGGUGGCAGGCUGAGUAAAUCUUCCAUUUAUAAUCUCGGACAUACUUAAACAAAAUUGUUGUCUCUUAUAUUUGUAUCUAUACUACUAUAUGGUGGCAGAAGCCCUGCCACGCUGUCUGCCCCACUUGGAUGCACUGUACUUCCUAUCAGACUCUGUUAGAAUGUUCAAAAGGGAAAAGACAAAAACAACUGUUAGAAGCCACUUCUGCUCGGUUAGCACCACUUGGACAUCAUAUGUUUGUUAUGCUUAUCCAUAUUUUGUUCUAGAACAAUCCAAUGAGAAAAGACAAGCAAUCCUGGCAGUCAAGGCUGUUUCUAAAAUUUUUCUUCCAGUGACAAGAAAAAGGUGGUGAGCAUGUCCUUCGGAGAAGAAUGCUUUUUUUCCCAUGUGUUACUUAAAAGAGCCCAGCAGAGAAUGAAAAACAAAGAAAAGAUCCCAAUAAGAUUAUGGUGGUACAUUUCAUUACAUGGAAUCAUAUCUCUCGUUUGUUGGUUGGGUCAAAGAAGGUAAGUUUUCUUGAGGUAGUCUAGUAAAUUAAAGAAAACUUGGUGGUACUGAUUUUUUCGAUAUCAUAUUCAAGAAUUAUGUUUCAUAGGGUGGAAUCAAUAUCUGCAAUAGCAUUCCCUUAGCUAGCUUCUUCACCUAGCUUGGCAAACAAGAAGCAAUAUCAAAAUCUUUUUCCCCAUCUUAAAGUAAGUUUUUUAUGUUAUGAUUGUAGCUAUAUUAUAUAUUAUACUUGAUCAUCUAAACAAUUAUGUUAAUAAAUUUCAGUUAUGAAAAAAGGAAUACAAUAAAACUCGUGGUGCUUUCUAACUUCUGAUCGGAACUAUCUUUAUUAUAUCAAAAACAACAUUUUGCAAGAUCUUAAUGAUCCAGAUAUAGGUAAGGAGGUUCAUGUUAGACUAACAUUUUGACCAAAUUUCAGCUUAAUCAAAAUUUCGAUUAAGCGGUAACUCAAACUGAACCUUGAUCUACUUCUAUUUGGGUUGGAACCAACAGAGAUGUCUUGGGAUAUGCCUUAUGCCUGCCAAACACUUCUAGAAAACAGGAGCACAGAAUGGUUAUUCCAACUAAAGGCUAGAAUAAUUUAUUCAUCAGAUAAAGCCCUCAUUUAUUAUUGUCUCUGUUUUUAUAGAUAAUAGGAUUAAGGCAAAAGUACAUGUAGUGCCAUGUGGCCCAUAUCAAGUAGUGCUAAACAAUUUUGGCAAGAUAAGACCAUAUAUCUGAGUAUUAUGUCAAGAUAAUUUUUCCUUAAUUGUAACUAGUUAUAGUGCACAUGCUUAUGCAUGUGUAUUGAAAGAAAAAUAAUUAAAUUGACAAAAGAAAAAUUCCAAUAGCAUAGUCGAAAAGACCUGGGAAAACACCUGAUGUUUGAAUAUGGAGCCACCUCUGAAUAAAAGAGAGAUGCAUCCAUUGGGUAACAGCUUAAAAAUUCUUGCAUAAUACUCAAAUGAUUUAAAAUUACAAUAUCUUCAUCCUUCUAAUCUACAUUUUCACCUACAAUUUUUAACCUGUUCUAUUAAAUGACAUGUAAACAUGUUGUAAAAGAAGCUGCUUAGACUGCUGUAGACAAGUUAAGGUGCAAUAGGUUAAGUAUGCCUAAAUCCAGUAAUGAAGUAAUUCCAUCUCUUAUCGAUUUAUUAGAAAAUCAAUCGUGAACCAAAUUGUAAAUCUAAUUCAUGAAUUAAAUAUUGAUCUUGGAAUGAGAGAAUAUUUCUUCAAUCAUAUUUGAUAUGGAAGUAGAUAAUAGCAAGCCACUUUAUAGGUUCUGUUAACUUGAUCAUUGACCAAGGUUAUUAUUUCAAACUCUACUUAGUUAUGAAAAUUAGCUUUUACAUUAGCCAGAGAGGAUUUAUUUUGGAUGGGGUUAGUAUGAAGCUAGAUAUGAUUUAAACUCCAUGAAUUUAUGAAUGUUAUAACGAGUGGCAAAUUGCUAUUUGUGAUUAUAAACACUAGAAUAUUGCAGGAGCCAUUAUGUAAACCUGGUAUAACAUCUUAAGCAAUGUUUCCACAGUGACGAUUUGGCCUAACAACACUCACCCCAAAACCAUUCCAUGUAUUCAUGACUAUUACAAAAUUUGUUAAGUUGUUAUUUUGAUACCUUCUUUUCCUUUAAGAACACAGAUGAUCUAAAUUUGAGAAAUUCAUUGGGUCAAAUUAAAAUUUUUGAUUAUGAAAACUCGAGUAUUACAGGUGAUGUUAGAUAACACCUGACACAACAGCUUAGGCAAGACGCUAACAAAUAUUAUACACCCCAAUAAUGGUCCAUUCCAAAAGGAUUUUUCUCCUUAGAAUAGACAUAAUAGUCGUUCUUUGUUCAUUUGAUGCCUUAGACUGGAAUUUUUUUGGCAAUAAAAAAUUCUUAUAUCAACUGCAAUUUUUUAUAUAAAGAAAUAAUAUAUCAUGAUGAUACAAUAACAUGAACUUUUAAUCAUGUAUUAUUCACAGAAUAAAUGUAUAAAAUUGGCAUAAGAUUUAUAUUUUAAAAGUAUUAUUCUAAGUAUAUGAACUUGAUAAUAAAAAUGUUAUGAACAGGUAACCUCAAUGACAUGGAAGGUCUUGAUAUAUUAUCAUAGCAAUUCAUUUAAACAUCAUCCAGAUAUAGCUCAAUAAGCAAUUACUUAAAAAUCUUUUUUUCUUUCCUUCUAAACUUUAAUAAAUUGUCUGACAUAGCUAUAGGUAAGUUAUAUGUUAGGUCCUGACAUCAUAGAAGCAUAUAUAUGUCAUAAAUGAUAUUAUUAUUAUUAUUAUUAUUAUUAUUAUUAUUAUUAUUAUUAUUAUUAUUAUUAUUAUUAUUAUUAUUAUUAUUAUUAUUAUUAUUAUUAUUAUUAUUAUUAUUAUUAUUAUUAUUAUUAUUAUUAUUAUUAUUAUUAUUAUUAUUAUUAUUAUUAUUAUUAUUAUUAUUAUUAUUAUUAUUAUUAUUAUUAUUAUUAUUAUUANNNNNNNNNNNNNNNNNNNNNNNNNNNNNNNNNNNNNNNNNNNNNNNNNNNNNNNNNNNNNNNNNNNNNNNNNNNNNNNNNNNNNNNNNNNNNNNNNNNNNNNNNNNNNNNNNNNNNNNNNNNNNNNNNNNNNNNNNNNNNNNNNNNNNNNNNNNNNNNNNNNNNNNNNNNNNNNNNNNNNNNNNNNNNNNNNNNNNNNNNNNNNNNNNNNNNNNNNNNNNNNNNNNNNNNNNNNNNNNNNNNNNNNNNNNNNNNNNNNNNNNNNNNNNNNNNNNNNNNNNNNNNNNNNNNNNNNNNNNNNNNNNNNNNNNNNNNNNNNNNNNNNNNNNNNNNNNNNNNNNNNNNNNNNNNNNNNNNNNNNNNNNNNNNNNNNNNNNNNNNNNNNNNNNNNNNNNNNNNNNNNNNNNNNNNNNNNNNNNNNNNNNNNNNNNNNNNNNNNNNNNNNNNNNNNNNNNNNNNNNNNNNNNNNNNNNNNNNNNNNNNNNNNNNNNNNNNNNNNNNNNNNNNNNNNNNNNNNNNNNNNNNNNNNNNNNNNNNNNNNNNNNNNNNNNNNNNNNNNNNNNNNNNNNNNNNNNNNNNNNNNNNNNNNNNNNNNNNNNNNNNNNNNNNNNNNNNNNNNNNNNNNNNNNNNNNNNNNNNNNNNNNNNNNNNNNNNNNNNNNNNNNNNNNNNNNNNNNNNNNNNNNNNNNNNNNNNNNNNNNNNNNNNNNNNNNNNNNNNNNNNNNNNNNNNNNNNNNNNNNAUGGUGAGUUUUAAAUUGAAUUUUUUUUCCAUGAGAAUCAAUUCUUUGGUGAGAAUUUGAAUUGAGUUCGACCUUCUAAAGUCCAGAGUCCCUAGUCCUUAUGGUAUUUUGAAAGUCAGUAAAUGUACUUGUAGGGGUACUUGAUUCAAGUGGAGACAUUUUUAAAGUUGCCAAGCUAUUUAGGUUUUGUUAGGUGUCCAAUGCAUGCAUGUUCUUGUUUGGUUGGGGGGAAGGUGGGGGGGAGGAGUAAAAUAAUUGAUAGGGGUAUUCGGAGAGAAAAGACACCUGAGAGUUUUAAGUUAAUUAAUCCAUGAAAAAGUCCAAGACAAUGAAGGUAUUCUGGGAUAGGGUAUUUUAAGAUGGGAUGUUGACACACCUAUAUAGUUAUUAGAUAUUCUGAUAUCAAGUAUGAAGUUCUAAAUACAUUAAACUCUCUGGUGGGCUUCAUCAAGUACUAUAAUUCAUUUCAACGAGAAUCUAUAAUCUAUGAUGUAUUUGUCUGAAUUAAAAAAUGGUUUGAAAGUAUAAAACAUGCUUAUUCAUCUUCAUACAUUUAUCCAAUAUCAUCCAAGAUACAGGGGGAAGGCAUCCUGAUCAUAUAUUUAUUGAAACAGCUCGGUUUGGAAAAUCAGCAUAAUAACAUGAUCAAAUAAUAUCACAAUAUGUUACUUUAAAGGAGGUUUAACAUGUUCUAUUUUGCUUCAAAUGGCAGAAGUCCAUAAAUCAUUCCUUCCUCCAACAAGGUUUUUUUGCUUUUGCAAAAUCCUUUUUCUCUCCAUCAGCUGUUAAAAAAAAUAAAUUGUCUCAUAUACCCCCUCAUAAAGGAUUAUAUUGUUCAUAUCAUGUUCAAACUGUUUUUAACAAUUAUGAGUCGACAAUUCAAACUUCAUUAUCAACAACGAGGCAAGCAAGAACAUUCUCCAAAAUGGUGAUGUAUAGUAUAUUGCCAAUCCAAAUUCAAACAUAAGUGUAAAGGGUACAAGAUGAAAUUAUCAGAAAUCAGACAUCAUUAGAAACCUUCAGCCACACAAUACUAUAAAAAGCAAGGUUCCCGAAACCGAAACCAGGACCCGUGCCGGCCGGCCGGCCGGCGGUUCCUAGAGGAGAAAAAGAGAGAAAGAGAGAGAGAAAGGGGGGUGGAGAAAGAAAAGGAGGAAGGAGAAGCCCUCGGAGAGGCUGCCGGACGGCCUCCGUGAUCGCCGUGGCCGCCAGACAGCGCACUCCACGUGUACGGUGCCGUGGGCAUGAAACAGGAACGAUGCCCCUGUUUCACUGUCUUUUUUAAAAAAAAGUCGAAAAACCAUGAAACCAAUUGCCGGCUUCACUGUUUCUGAUUUUUUUAUAAAAAAAUUCAAAAAGUGAAGCCGACAAUGGAUUUGCCGACUUCACUAUUCAUCAUCGUUUUUAAAAAAUGGAAUGAAGGAAUAGGGUCACCCCUGUUCCGUAGCUGCGGCUCUGCCCAUGCGGUUUUCACUAUCCGAUAGCUACGGCAGCCAUCACGCAAAGUCCGACAACCCCUCCGCGAGCUCUGCCUCCCUCCGGUACAUCCCUCUCUCUCUUUCUCACUCAUUUCAAAAUCCUUUCAGGCGACGGUCGAGCCGCAAAGGCUUCCGCAGCCCUUCGACAGCCGCAAUGGGCCACCGCAAGCCUCCGGAGGCGUCUCUUCUCUCUCCCUCUCCUCUUCUCUCUCCCUCUUCCUCUCUUUCCCUCUCCCUCCUCCAGUAUACCAUCUUCGCCAGCCGAACCAUGCCAGUUCCCCAUCGAUCCAGCUCGGGAUGGGGUGUACCGGCCGGUUCGAUCCAGUACAAAAAACCUUGAUAAAAAGUAAAAACAGCUAUUGUUUUAAUAGUCAAUAAAAAUAAGAUAUGCUAUGAACCAAUGACAGCACGGUAUCAAAUUCAAAAAAAUGCAUCUACACAGCCUACAAAUAUUAAAUUACUCAUUCUGUGCUCAGAAGUCAUACAAUGAAGUCACAUAAUGUAGCCAAUGAAAGCAUGAUCACUUUUGACAAGCUUAGAAGUUCCAAAAUUUAGCAAAUCUACUUGUAGUCCUUAACAAAAACUACUGCAAAUGAAUAGUGAAAAUUUUAUUGCUUACCUCUUGACCAGGCUCAAGUUUGUUUUUUAACAACUUAUGACCAGCCUCCUCAAAAUCAACACUUGACAUGAUUGUGAGAUAAAUAGUUCUCCGCAAAUUAACAAGAUUUGUCUCAGUCUCAUCUUUUGUUUUCAUUUUCUUUUCUUCCUCCUUUUCAGAUUCUUCUUUGUCUUCAUCAUCUAAGGCUGCAUCAGACCCUUCUUCAUCUCCAGAAGACUCUGUCCCAAGGAUACUUUUCUUAAUGUUUUCAUAUGCCUUCUCAUCAUCAAGAAAUUGUGGAUUUGGCUUAAAAACAUCUGCCAAUUAAACAAGAUAUAGUCAAAAACUUGCAAUAUAUUAAGUGAUGCUGCAAAUGACCAAAACGCAUGGGAAAACUUAAAACCAAUACACACCAAGAUUUGCCUUUGGAUCUAUCUCAUCUUCCAGGGAUAUCUCAUGGGUAAAUUGAUCUUCUUGCUCCACAAGGUCCAAUUCUGGGUGGAUAGCAGGAAAUCCCUGUAUAUUGAUGUGAAACCAUAUAAAAUGAUUGAUUUAAUUAUAUACUUUGACUCAAACUAUAUAGAGACAUGCAUGAUUCAGGCGAACUCGUAUAGAAAGUUCAACCAUACCUGGAAUUUGGCUCUCCUUAUUGCAAAAAGGCCUUCAAUCAAGAAUUGAACUCGUUUUAUCUCCCCUUCACGAAGUAUUCCCCGAAAAUGUUCAAAAAUACCUGCAAAGAUCAAGAAGUAUGAAAGUUACCAUGAGAAAUGUAGAUGUAUUGCUUGCAGUACUUGUUCUAUCCAAUACAAUCAAAGAAUGCUCAAUCAAAUCAUAAUAUGAACUUUUCUACAGUACAGCUAAAUGCAAUCGGAUGUUUCAGAUGGUAAUAAUUAGGGAUAGAUACCUCAGAUACAGAUGAUUACAAAACUAAAUAUCAGUAGCAUCAAGGUCCAUAAUCUCAAUAUUGGGGCCAAAUCAGUUAGGUACUAGUAUGAUACAGUGCCAAGCUGAACAAUACCGACUCUUAAUACAUGGUUAUGUACUGGCUCAAGGUACCAAUUCACUAUCUCUUGCCCUUUUUAUUUAUUUCAAUUUUUUGAUUUUUAAGAUCAUGAAUCUUAAAUUGUGAUUUUAAGAGUACUUUAAUAUUAUUUUAUUUCAUAUUGGUUGGGAGAGACUGUAUGAUUGCUAAAUAGAUGCAGUUGUAAUAACUAAACAUAGAUUUGUAACUUGGAAUGCAGAUGUAUAUCAUUGUAUGCUCUAGUUUUCAUCAUCCACAAGACCUCAUCUUUCUUUCAACAGUCACCUUCUUGAACUCAUACUUUUCAAUUUUGUCAUCCUCUAUUUACUUCUAACUCUAUUGUUUUUGUGUUCAUCUCAUAAAUUUAAAAGGAAUACAUUAUCCUAAUAUAUUGAUAACUAUGACACCCAAGGUCUAGUUCUUAUCUUACUCUCAGGCUUAUGGUUGCACCUUUCUGCAUCCCUCUCUAAGCCUGUGUUUAGUUAGGGUCAUGAGAGGGUGGAUGGAUGAGAUUGGAAGGAUGGAUGGCUUCCGUCCAUUAUUUAAUUCAAAAAGUUACAAGAAGGAUGGAUGAAAAAGGAAGAAUUGCCCAUCCAUCUUGGCCCACCAAUUUGCAUCGUCCCAAAUUGGGAUAAAAGAAGGAUGGAUGGAGAAUUGAAUGAUAGACUUUUGCAUUGACAAAAUUAUCCCUCAUUAAUUGUUUUGAUAAAACUAUAAUAUUUCUUCACCUUUUCAUUCAUAUUAUUUAUAUAUUUUUUAUAUAUACUAUUAAUCAUAUGCUAUUAAAUUUUAUUAGUCAUUAUUUUAAUUUUAGUAUAUAAUUUUCAUAAUUGUAAUUAAAUAAUUAGAUUAUCUUCUAUUUCUCUAUUUAUAUUUACUAUUUUUUAAUUAAUUAUUUGUAUAAUAUGAAUUAACUAUUUAAACUAAAUUAUAAACUAAUUAGUUACUUAUAUAAUUAAUUUAUUAAUAAUUAAUUUAUAAAAUCAUGUAUUAAAUUAAAUAUUUAUAUAAUUUUUUAUAUAAUUAUAGAUUAUAAAGAUUAUAAGUUUAUACAUUGUUUAUUUCUUUAGUAUAAAUAAGUAUUAUAAAUUGAUAAUAAUAAUAUUUUUAUCAAAAGAUAGUUUAGUAAAAAUAUUAUACAAAUAUCAUUCAUCCUUUCUCUCAUUCCUCCUAUACCAAACAAACAAAGAAUUCAAUUCCACCCAUCCUUCCAUGUUUCACCAAAUAUAUGAAAGGAUGGAUAGAUUUGUUUCACCAAACAUAGAAAGGAUUUUUCAUCCAUCCUUUCCUCCAUCCAUCCGUCCUCCUCCAUCCAUUCUUCCUUUAAUCCAUCCUUCAUAGCAAAUAGAGGGUAAUUGUUGCUGCCCAAUUUGCAAUCGACAUCUAUAAGAGCGGCAUUGGUCUAACAAAACAGUCUUAGGAUUUUCUUAAGCUUUCAUUUUGUUCAUGCAACCACUGUUCCUAUCCAGAUUUAAAACAUUAUUGGAGGAUUCUAAGGUUCCUAGAUGACAAAAGGCUAUGGUUAAGGAGCAUUUUGUUCUUCAACGAACUAAUGAAUGCAAGUUUGCCUUCUCCAAUCACUAUUCAUAAAAAGUGUCUUUAUUUGUUGAUCAAUUAAGCAACACAAAGCUUAGAUGGUGGCGAACUAUUUAUUGAAGGGCAUGGCAUAGGUUAUGAAAAAGGUUAUUAGAAGUGAGCAAGAUUUUUAUUCAAAUAUUAAAUGUGGUAGUGAGUAUUCAACAGUCCCUCUUCUAAGCAAACUAGAAACAGCCUCUAUCAUGGAGAUCUAUGAGAUCUACAUAUCCUAACCUUCGACAUUCUCUACGAAUUUGGAAAUUGAACAUGAUCCCUUUCAAUGCCUUUUAAUAGGACAAGGAUUAUAAACUUUUAUUACGAACCUAAUCCUGUAGUAGAAUAUACUAGUUGUUUCUCACAAAAUCCAACCAUCUCUUCACAAUUUUUGAAGAAAAGAAAGAAGAAUGACAUCACAUGGCUCUCUCUUUCUGGUUGUGGGAAGGGCCAAACCAACCCAAACCACUCCAAAGCAGGCAGAACUGAGUAGAUCCACUUGGUUUGGAGCAAUUCGGGCCGAUUUGCACACAUUCCUGAGCUGAGGCCAAACCAACCUAGUUCUACAUCGGUUCACAUCAGCACACUCUAAGCCGAGCAGUUUGAGUCAGUUUGGCAGACCAUGAGUAACAUUGUACAAUCCAAGGACUUUACUGCAAAGUGAAUCCCUUGGCAAAUUACAUAUCAACCUAGGUGUGCCCCACAACUCUGUACUUAUUUAGAAAGGUCAGUAAGAAUAUGAGGCAAGAAAAUGAUUACAUCAGACAAUUCAUAUUUAAGGACAAACAACAAUGAUAACUUCCACAAUAUGACACACUUAUCAGCACCAUUCCAAUAUAAAACACUGGAUAAAAAAGGAAAAUUGCUAAUGAUGAGUUAAGAUUCUGGAUGGAAGGACAAAGACACCUAUAUAAGUUGACUAGUUGCGCAUGGCAGAUAAACCAUGUAUAAAAAAGUUAAUUAAGCUCUAAUUCUAUGCUGAUGACAAAUUUCAGCAAUUAAUAUACACGUCUGGACGCCUUGUUAUGAAUAUCAGACAAGCAUAUGACGUGGCAGCAAUUUUUCCCCAUAUUGUGUUGCACAAGACUUCCCAAGAGAAGUGGUUUAGCAGGUCUUCCUCGAAAUAAGAAUUAGGUGCAUAUGGAUUAAGAUGGGUUAGGCUGCAUUAAAAGAAAUAAUUUAUAAAAAAAAAACUAGAACUUCAAGAAAAAUUAGGUGCAUAGAAGUCGGAUUAGGCUGCAGUAACAAAAAACUUGAGCUAUAGACCCACUAAGCCACCUUAUAUCAGUAAAAACCAGAUAAUAGAACUAACAGCUGAUUUUAUAUUUGAAUUAGGUAUCUAGCAGCUGAAAAGUAUACAUGAUUGCAUCUAAACCUGAGUAUGUGGAGCUAAAGUAUCUAGUAAAUAGGACAAUAUUCUAACCUUCAGAUAAGAACUUAUAGACAUGAAGUAAUGAAACAUACUGCAUUUAUGGGAACAGACCAAGAUGCCAUUAAGCAUAAUAUAAAGAGGGUUGAAAUCAACCUAAGAAAAAAUUUUAACUAAUAUAUUUUUUUAAUAUUGUACAAAGAAAAUACUUAGAAAACAUAUAUUAAGGUUUGUAAUGCACGUUUCUCAUCCAAACUUCCAGAUUAGCUUCUGAACUUUAGAAUAUGAUACUUUACAAAGAUACUCUAAUAUGUAGAUUCUAUUGCAUGGCGUGCUUUUGAUUAACUGCUGACUACCUAUAGUCUGAUUUCACUCAAAAACGACUACUUAUAGUCAGAUCACUGGAGCACACUACUUACCCAUCAGGGUCAAUCUACAACAUUCCUAUAGCUACUUGCAUCCCCAAGUUUCUUCAAGGUUAUCUUUGAGAAAUCCAUGAAGGGGUUUCUGACAUUGCUGGAGAGGGUUUCAUCAUUUGAAGUGACAAAGGGUAAAUGGUUGCAGUGGGAUCCCAACACCUUCAUAGUACAUUUGUUCCCUUUGUAGAACUAGCAGCAGCAUGGAUUGACUUCAUUAUGCAGUAAAGGAGCUUAAUGCUACCCAUAUAUGAUUACAGGGUGACCCCGCUGCUGCUAUUUCUUGGAUCCUUUGAGGUCAAGCUACAUACAAACAACAUCUACCUUUCAGAACAAUACUUUUCAUCUCACCCCAACAUCCAUAUUCCUUCAAGUUAUCAUAUAAUUUCGAGGCAAACUAAGCAGCAAACUGGCUUCCAAAUGCAGGAUCAAAUAGAGAUUAAUCAAGGCAUUCAGAUUUGGAUUUCAGUCCACUGGCUCCAGCCUAGCAUCUUAACAGGCAAAUGCACUUGGUAGUAUUUAUGAGGGAAAGUUAGAGGUGCUUCAACCUCCUUUUAAAUAUUAUGGAAAGGAAAAAAAGAAAAAAAAUUAUUUUGGACACUACUAUAGUGGGUUGAACUCAUUGUUAGAAGAGUCCAAUUCCCUGCCAAUUUCUAAAAGCUACAGUUAAAGAAAAUUAAUAAAUAUCCAUGUCUGACGCAUAGACCAUUCAACUAUGCAUGCAACACAUAGGAGAGUUUCCAAGUAAAACAGCUGAAACUUGAAAAGAGGAUUGUCACCUCCAUUUGAGGAGACAUGAAAAUAACUUAAGUCGAUGCAGCAUAAUCAUUUUACACUGCUUUGGGCCACUUCUUAAUAGAGCACAUGUACUAUGUACUUUUUCCCUCAAUUAGUAACAUGUUUCAGAUCCCAGAGUUAUGGCAUUGCAAGCCAUAAACAGAUUCUCGUGAUAUCAAAUGUCAAGAAAAACUUAUUCAAGCAAUAGUCCAACAAUGGAGAUCAAAUGCUUAAGUUAAAAACUUUAACCAUGAUUGCUUAUGGUUAUGAAAUUGAAGAUCAAAUACCACAACCAUAACCAUUGAACCUUGUCCCAACUAUUUGGGGUUAAUCUUAUGAAUCCUCAUUUGCCUAAGUAUUGCUAUUUAGGGCCAUCCACGAUAUUACACACAACUUAUCCAUAUCCUUCCUCACAACCUCCAUCAAUAUUACCAUAGAUUUCUAUCUUUUUCUUAUUAUCCUCCACUUCCACACAAAAUAAAGUACCUCUUCUUACGGGAGCCUCUUCAGAUCUUCAUUGUACAUGUCUAAAGCAUCUCACUUAACUUUCGAUCACUUUAUCCUCAAUUUGUGCAACUCCUACACCUUCUCUAAGCUAUUCAUUCUUAAUCUAUCCUCUAUAGUUUUAUAACACAUCUAUCUUAAGAUUCUUAACAUUCUCAUCUCCAUCAUAUUUUGAACUCUCUUUAUUGCCUAGCACUUCGAUCCAUAUAACAUUCCCUUUAAUCUCCAAGAUAUGCAUCAAUCACAUAAUACUCCAAAUGCGCCUCACCACCUCAUCCAACUAGCUCUAAUUCUAUUACCUAUACCUUCAUCUAACUCCCUAUUAUUUUGUGUAAUAGAUGCUAAAUAAUAGAACCAAUCACGCUGCUCUUGCCCCUCAAUCUUAAUCAAAAUCUCUUCUUCAUUUCCAUUCUACCAAAUUUACACUCCAUGUAUAUGGUUUUCAUCAAUGACAUUAUAUUGUCUACUGAUAAGAUAUGCAUGGUACAUCUUAUUGUUUACCAGCAGUAAUUUCAUCAUAUUGUAAUUGGAAAUAUACAUAUUGUACUACAACAACUUCUAUAGUUGAUAAUUCACCACCAUAUAUAUCCUCAAUCAUUUCAAUAUAUUAUUUAUGUACACACUUCUUAAAGCCCAUCAAAUUACUUUUCGUGUUACCUUAUCAUAAGUUUUCUCUGCAUUACUAAAGACCAUAGGUAAACUUUUUCCCUUUUCUCUAUAUUUUUCUAUCAACUACCUAAGUACGAAAAGCCUCUCUUCUUAACCUUUCAGGCAUAAAUCCAUUGUUUGUCUGAAACUGUUGCUAUUGUUUUAAUCCUUUUCAACUAUCCUUUCCCACAAUUUUAUAAAUCACCUAUAAUAUCAAAAGUGGCUCUAAACAGGAUUUCUUAGCAAAUAAGGAUCCAUAAAACAAAUCCAAAAUGGUUGAGAAAAGGCUAGACUCUCAUGGUUAUAGUUAUGGUACUCAUAAAUUUAAUUCCCUGAUUCUAAGAACAACUUUGUAUUGAUUCUUAGAACAACUUUGUACAUCACCUUUACUGUUAUAGAUAAAUUUCUCCUCCAAUAAUCUGAAGUUUUUUUGGUUUUUAAAAUCUCAUUAAAUAAGUUAGCAAGCCAGGUUAGCCAAUAUCUCCCAUGAUUUUAGCAACCUCAAUAAGUACCAUAAAUUUAAUUCCCUGAUUUUUAGGACAACCUUGUACAUCACCUUUACUCUUAUAGAUGGACUUCUCCUCCACAUCUUGAGUUUCCUUGGUUUUUAAAAUCUCAUUAAAUAAGUUAGCAAAGCCAAACUAGCCCAAUAUCUCCCAUGAUUUUCCCAAAAUAAGUAUUUCAUCUAAUCUUAAUUCCAUACCAUUUUGCAUUCUUUUUAAAGCUAUCUACAAAUUCACUCCCAUAGAAUGUUUGUACGGAACCUCAACUCCUCCCUAACUGUACUUCCUCAACAAAGAUUUCUUUAGAAGAAUCCUCAUUUAACAACUUUUCAAAACACAUCUCCAUCUUUCUUUAGUUUCCUCAUCUUUCACUAAUAUCAUAUCAUCACCACUCUUAAUGCAUCUAACUUGAUCAAUAUCUUUGGAUUCCCUUCUUUGACUCUAGGUAUUUUAUAAAUUUCAUCCUCAUCUUCCUUUGAACUAAGCCUAUCAGAUAGAUUACCAUUUGCUACAUGCUUAGCUUUAUUUACAAGUCAUUUCACACCCUUGUAAUAAAUUUCACUCCUAAAAAGAUUUUAACAAUGCUAUGAGUCUUCCCUCAAAGAGUAUUGUAUUGGUGGGCAUUAUUUGGAAAAUUUCUAAAGUCUAUUUUAAGAUUCCUGAUUUGAAAAUCAAAAGAAAAAAGACAUGUUAAAAAGUUGGAAAUCCAAAAUUCCCAAUAUACUAAGGAUUAUUUAGGUGCCCUCAAACUUCACUCUCUAAGUAACUGUUUAACAAAUCAGAAUUUACUGUUUUGCAGCAAUAGAAGAAGUAUCUCUAGACUUUAGAUCAAGCUUUAGGAAGCUAGAAAUAGGAGCAAGACCAUAUAAAUGAUUCAUCUAAUUUUUAUUAGUAAAAUUGGCUUUUCUCCACAUAUCUUUCAAACUUAGAUCACUUUCACAAUGGUAUAUACUUACUUCUAGAUGAUACCUCUCUACAUUCUCCCCACAUAACAACAACAAGUAUAUAAUCAUUUAUUUGUAUGUGAUGAACAACAGCUAAAUUAUCAAUUCCCACCAAUGAAACAAACAAAAAAGCAUAACCAAAUUAUCAAGCUAAAAUGCGUCAAGCAAGGUUUUAAAUCCCAUGGGACAAAAGUGUCCCAAUCUCUCAAGGAAACAGAAUGCCCCACUAUCCCAUCCCAUCCCGACAGCAAUUUUGGUCGUGCACCUCAGUGGAUAUCCUGCAUCUUUCUCUCAUUUUUCUUUCAUUUCUUUCUUUCAUUUUUUUUCUUUCGUCCUUCUUUUCUUUCUUUUCCUUUAUCUUCCUUUCUUUCCUUUCUUUUUUCUUUCUUUUUCUUCUCCCAUCCUUUCUUUUUUCAUUUUUCUUCUUCUUUCCUUUCAUUCAUUUUCUCUAUCUUUUCUUUCCUUCUUUUUUUUCUAUUUCUUCUUCUCCCAAUCCCGUCCCAGUCCCAUUUUCUCACAAGAACAUGAUAGGAUGACCGGAACACCCUCCAUCCCAUCGGAACAUAAAACCUUGGCGUCAAGCAUGCAUCAGCUAAAUAAAAUUCCAAUCUAUACUAAAAAUUAAAUCCCACUCACCAUGGAGACCUUGAGGGGAGAAGUCCUGAAGUAGUGCUCCACAUUCUUUAACAAAACCUACAGCUACCUGCACAAGAAUGGAAGAUGUAGACAUAAGGACAGUUCAAUCAAACUUAGUAUGAUGAAAACACUUUUAAAAGAAAAAAUUACCUCCACACUAUCAUCAGUAGGGUUUUCCAACAGCACCGUUUGAAGUUCUAAUGCAAUAACGUCAUGUGCUAGUUGUUGAUUCACAAGAUGAGCUUUAAAUGUUGUUGCAGCAAGUAGUUGAGGCUGACAUCAAAAAUUUUUAUCGCAUAUAUCAGAACAUCAUCCUUUCCCAAUCAAAUGACAACAGAAUUGAAAGGUUAGAAACAUAAAUGCAGACCUUGUCGUUCCGUUUAUAAGCUCUUUUGAGCAGUAAGACAAUCCUUUUCAAUAGAAGUCAACCCACUUCUGGGAACUUGGUAUUCACAACGGCAACUAAUGCAGCAAAAACAUCUGUGAAUCCCGCCGACCUCAUCUGUGAUUUCAUACAUGACCUGCAGAACAGACCCCGCCCACGAAUUAGGUUUUCCGAGAAGAGCUCGGGGAUUAUAUUCUUAAUGUUGGUAGCGUUGACUUUGUUCACCAGCCCAUUAAUGCUCUUCCGAAGAGCAUCCCAGCUGAGCCUCUGUAGGCCUCGCUGCUCGUCCUGCACCUCACGCAUCAUCUGUGCCAUCCGGAACGGUGGGAUGUAUAUGCCACCAGUCCUUCCCGCAAUGGAAUCAGGCAUCGGAGGUGGCGGCGGCAGCUCGUUUCCAACUUUCUUGGUCUCCUCGUCUCUUGGAUGGCCUUCUUCAACAUCUCUAUCUCUAUGUCUUCGACGCCGUGCUUGACGGUCAUCAUCGUCAUCGCCAUCACCAUCACCAUGCCAAUUGUCAGUGAUCCUCUCGCGCCUUCGAGGGCUUCUAUCCUCAUCCGAAUGGUGCUUCCUACGAUACCGGUCUCUAUCUCUGUUCUUGUCUCGCCGGCAAGCGCUAUCAUGGUCACGAUACCUGCGGCGCCCUUUAUCCCUUAUCCUCUCUCGCCUCCGAGGGCCUUCGUCCUCGUCGGACCUUCGCUUCCUGUCCCUCUUCCUACCACUAUCGUCGCUACCAUCGUCGUCGUCUUCUUCUCUACCGCGCCCCCUCCCGCCCGACCGGUGAUUCCUCUCCUUCUGUCCCUCGUCGGCGUGCCCGCGGUGCCGGCGAUCGUCCAUCGACCUCCGUCCCUUCCCUCGGCCGUCCGAAUCCGAACCCUCGUCGCCGGAGCUGCUGCGACGGUCAUCUCGCUGCGUCCCUCCGUCCCUUGCAGGAAGCCUAGAUUCAGUGCCGCCAGAUCUUGGCCUGUCUCGGCUUCCCGGUGUCGGGACGGCGGCGCCGCCGUCCCGACGGCUUCUUCUGUGAUCUUCGGGUUCGGAGGAUGACGCGUAGGUCUCGGAGGCGGCCAUUUACUUGCUUUGGGCCCUGGAUCUCGCCAAUCCCUCGCGCUCUCUCUCUCGAUAUAUCAUGGGGUAGAGCUGGUAAGGCGAACGGGGCAAGGCACAUCAACGAAACGUCUGAAAUAGGUUCAGAAAUCGUUAUACGGGCCCGGUUCAGUGGACCAUUCCUGAUCCGGGGCACGUGUACGUCCCUUAUUUCAUCUUGGAAGGGGUAAUAUGGCGAGUAAGUAUUGGCCUUCGCCCACUGAACCUGGUCCAUCAGGUAACGUGGCGAGCGACUUUUAGACUGGCGGAAAAAAGUUCACCAACAACUAAGCCGGCCUUUUAGACCACCCGACCCCUGUACUGUGCUGAAAUUUCGCGUCUCUCUUCUUCAUGUCUCUCUUCUCAAUUUUUUUAUGAUUCUUUAUCCCUUCCAAUCGUGGUAUAAAAAAAUACACAUCGUUAGUCCUAUACUAAUUAGGAUCAAAAAAAACUCUAACGGAGGUCAUUCUUCUCACAUAAAAUAUUUUUUAAAAAAUAAAAUCAUAAAAUUUUAAAUGAUCAAAAUCUACUAAAAUAUAAAGAUAGUCGUAAAUCAAAGCAGAUAAUAUCUCACAUAUCGAGUCCAACAUCGUCACUUAUUCUCCCUCCACACAAAGUUGAUAAAGAGAAAUGACGAUUUUCAAACAUACUUUCAACUGAAAUAUGAUACAAUGAGCUCCGGCUCAAGACAAUAUGAACUCCAGCUCAAAGAUGAUUCGAUGAUAAAUACAAGCUCCAACUCAAACCCCAAAAGGCCAAAGUAGAAAAAUACCGAUCUUCGGAUCGAAAUGAGUCUCAAAAGGACCAACAUGUUGAUCGACUCUGAUCGGACGGAACAACAUGCCGACUCGACUCCGAUUGGAUAGAACAAUAUGCCAACUCGACUACGGUCGGAUGGAAUAAUAUGCCGAUUUGACUUUCGUCGGCAAAAGAUCGACUUUGAUCGGCAUAUUACCGACUCCGAUCGGCAAAACACCGACUUCGAUCGGCAUAUUACCGACUCCGAUCGGCUAAUAUCGACUCCAGUCGGUAAAUUUCGACUCCGAUCAGAUAACACUGACUGAUAACAUCGAUUCCGGUCGGUUGGGCACUGACUCCAAUCAGUCAAAGUUGAUCAGCCAAUCAAUUAUUCGAGCAAAGAAAGAAAAGGUAAGUACUCAAUACAUGGAAAAUUUUACUUUUAUUGCUGUAAAAAAUCAAAGAAAUUACAAAAAAUGGACUAAGAUCCGAAUACAAAAAUAGAGAAAAAGCUACACCGACUCCCUUCCAUCGACUCCAUCGGCUGUCUCUCCAGUCGCUGCCACUACAUCGGUCUCUUGGAUCCUAACAACCAGCUCUUCCUCAGCAAAUGCCGGAACUACCUCGGCAGUAGGCACUGUUUCUUCUUCAGCAGUCGAGACAGUGUUUUCCAGAGCCUCAACUUGAAUGCUGCUUAGAUCGAGAUUCCGAUAAAGUGCAAUGAGCAGCCUUCGCUAACUCCUUCACGACAGCCGACUCCGCAUCAGUCAGUAACAACUACUCUUCGGUGGCCCGAUGCAGCUUCUAUAGCUUCCCCAACUUCUGGAGACCAUCAUCGCGCUCCUUCCUAACUCAUUUGAUAGUCUCUUUCUUCUGCUGAAUCUGGGCCUCAUGAAAUUUGGCAGACUUUUGAGCCACCUCCGACUCAGCUCUUGCGGAUUCCAGUUCAGCUUUCACCGACCCCAACUAUGCCUUCAAUUUGGAGGUCUCUUCUUGAUGCUUUUCCUCCAGUUGAGCCAUCACCCGUAUGGUGGCAUCCCUUUUGACAUUUGAGGCCAUCACUUUAUCAGACUACGUCCGACGAAGAUUCGCAAACUUUCGAUACCCUCGCUCCAGUGAUGACAUGUCGUGCGCCAACUGAAAAGAAAGGGAAAAGUCAGAAUCACAAAUAUUAGUGAACAAAAAAUGGAUGGAUAAGAGAAUAUCGACUUACAGUGAGGAGAACAGGAUAAAUGAAAAAAAAUAUCUCGGACACAAUCCAAUUUUUUUUAUUCUCUCUGUCCGUCAGAAGAAGUGCAGCCUCUACGAGCUUCCUGGCCAGUCUUAGGUUGCUCAAGGACAACUAGCCUUCGGACACCCGAAUAUUGAAAUAUUUUGUGAAGCCCUCAGGAACAUCUUCGCCAAUUGCACCAUCGAAAAGUUGUGGCACCUUUCCGCGAUCUUGAGCUGAUGGCUGAUCGAUCAGAGCCGACAACCAGUCGGGAGUGGAAGAUCGAUACAAUGUGGAAGGCGCUCAAGAUGUCAUCGGCAUCGGUGGCGGUUCAACGACCGUGACAUCACCACCGCGAACACCCGUUGAAGUCUUGGCCAUUGCUGGAAUUGCCGGAGGAACGUUGGCAACUGAUGGGACUUCAAGAACUGACAAGGCAAUGACAAGAUCCGCUCGCAUCUCAAAAGGGCCGACUAUCGAGGAUGUGUCGGGCUGGGCCUUCUUCGGUUCCCAAGAUGGACCCGCACCAUCGGGCCUCUUCCCUACGGUAACCCGUUGUCGAAUUCUUUCCGCUGAUGGUAGUCUCAUGCCUGCAAAGAAAAGUGAUGACUCAGCGACAGUUUGAAAUUAAAUCGACAAAUGAAAAGCAACAAAAGUUACUAAGUCAUACCUACGAAGGGAAUCGGACCAAGUCCGACAUCGUACAAGUGCUGCUCUGUCAACAGCUCCUGUUGUUCAAGGACCUCCAUGUCCUUCAAUCGGAUUAAGUCUUCUCAAUCCCCAACAUCUAUCUGAUCAUUGUCAUUCGGGCCAAACCUGGGAUAUUCUUAUGAAAAGAAAAAACCCCAAGCCGACGGAAAAGAAGUGAAAAAAAAAUUCAUUCUUCCAUUCGUGGAUGAAAGAAGGAGGUCGAAGAUAAAUCGAAGAUCCUGUCUCAGAACAAAAAACCACCAACCCCUGGUCUUAAGGUGGGAUCGGAGAACAAAAAAUGCCCGAAACAAUAACGGGUGGGGGUUAGUCAGGAUAAGAUGGCAGAACAAAGCAAAGGAGAUGAUAAGCCAAAUACCAUUUGGCGCCAACUGAGCCGGAUAAAUCCCCAUAAUAAUCGAACAGAUUCCAGAUGAACUCCAAAAUCGGAAAGUGAAGACCUACUCUGAGGUCCUCCAUAUAAAUCGAUACUUGGUCGAGAAGAGGGGAAUUCACCCAACCACUUAGACCAAGUGCUAAAAGUCGAACUACUCUGGGAUGCGGUAUUGCCCCUGAGCCGAACGACAUCGAAUUCGGACAAGGAAGAAACUUCCACUUCUGAAUCCGAAAGGAAAUUGUCAACCAAAUCACCCAGUCGACUACCCCAAGAAGGUUCUGUAGGACCAUCUACCGAUUUCUUAUCCUUCCCACCCUUACCGGAAGCGAUUAUCAAGAGACGAAGAACAAAUAAAGAAAUAAUGAAAGGAAAGGAAGGUGAAGGAACAUGAAAGCAUUACUGAACUUCAGAAAUGUGAAGAAGAAAGAAAAAAAUAGCUCCCUACACCCACAGCACUCAGCUCUCUGUUGCAGCAGAAGGAUGCUUCUUAGUUACAGCAGAAGAUUCAAAUGAAAGGGACGGCAAAUCUUAUAUAGACCCCUCAACGGCUAAGAUGAUUCCGCCUAACUCAAGACAUUCACGGAUUCUGACAUGUGGCUGCAUCCGAACCCUUCGAUGUUCAGACCCUUUGAUGCACCUACCACCAGAUCUUGACAUGAGAGUACAAUCUGUGUGAAUCGUCAGGAGCCAACAACUGUCGGAUACAUGGCAGUUAUUAACAGAUCAAAAUCAAAUCAAAUUAAAUCAUUCCACCAUCUGGUCGCCUACAACAUUAAAUAACUGUCUUCUUGAGGUGAUGCUCCAAUAAUGAUUGCACGACCUCCGAAAUAAAGAUCAAUGAAAUGACAAAGUGGAUGACGAUUCAAUUUUCAAAAAAAUCAUGAAUACCAGCAACUAAAGCAACCGUAGAAUCCGAUGUCAAAUCAUAACAAAAAAUACUCUCAUCGUCCAACAUGUCAGGUCAUUUUGAACUUGAGAGUGGGAGGCAACUGUUGAGAUAACCGAUUCUGCUACCCCGAUUUACACUCGACGCAUAAUAUCUCCAACUCGACAACGGCAUCCGACUAUGUGUCAUCGACUGAUGUCUAGCCGAUUAGUCUAAUCGAUCAAAGAAGUUGACAAUUUGCCAUACCGACUACCUUUUCAGCAUUCGACACCGACAACCUAUCGCCGAUCGUCUACUCAAGCCGUGAUCGACUAAGACAACCCGACAUCCAAUCGCUAGCGGCACCUUAUCGGCAUCCAAUCGAUAGCGGCAUCCUGUCAGUAUGCCAUCGACGACUCCGACAUAAUAUUGGGAUCACUGACUUCCAGUCGGUAUCACUGACCCCCAUCGGCUUAUCAGAAACCAUCAGUGCAAUAAGCGCGUAACGGUUACUUCCAUGAUCAAACCAUCAGCUGCUCACUAAGUAGGCAUUAAUUGUCCAUUCCAUGAUCGUAUAGUGCCGAAAUAAGCGGGACUCACGUGCCUAAUCGUUACAAACGAUUACCAAUGACUCAUCUAUAAAAGGGAAAUAAAUGAACAGUAUUGCUAAAACACUUUUGGACUGAUAUUUUGUCAAUUUUGAUAUUCUAUGUCCUAUUCGAUUACUCCCCACUGAUUUAAAUAUCGGAGGGUCUCUGCUGAAUGCAAUUUCGAUUAUAGAAUUUUUUUGCAAAUCCUUUUCACCAACAUCAAGCGUAACAGGAGAUUGGCCACAAUACUUUCUACUUAGUUUUUGAUGGAUUUGAAUAGCUAGUGCCAGUGCCAUCGUCUCUCAGUCCCUUGGGUAGUUUUAAUUUUUUGGACCCGUAACCGUGGGGGUGGGCUGCUCUGUUUUGGCCGUAACUCCAUUUACUAUUGCAUAGCCUUGAUGAAAUAGAAGUGGUAUUUUGUCUCCACUUCUGAGGGGGGACAAAAAUUCAGGAUUGGUACUAAGAUGAAAAAGUAGAAGAUGAUGGGAUUUAUGUGAGGCCAAGAAGAGGGAAUUUAUGAUUGGGCAGCAAAUAGAUCAAAAGAAAUUAUAGUGAAGAAAAUGAUAAUUCUAAUAAAGCAGGGGGGAGGGGAUAUGAAUCCUCGACAAAUUCUUGCAGUAUCUUUCCUUUUUUUUUUUUUUGUCCUUUUUCUUAACUAUUUGUUAUGGUCUUUUUAAUUACUCUAACUGUAACCGUUUAUAUUUCUUUUUUGGCAUCUUUUGUUCCUUUCCUUAACCAUCUAUCACACACUCUUCCCAUUUACUCCAACUACACUAAUUCACGGCUUUUGCAAUGUUCCAACAAUUCUGGAGGCCUGCAAUGAGCAAGUUUGUCCAACUUAUGGUAAGUUGCGAAGCUCAGGAAUCAAACCAAUACUUUCAUUUUAUAAUUGGGUUGAUUCUUAAUCACCCCUAACUUAGACAAAAUUACAAAAAACAAAUCAUCAAAAUUUCUUAAUUCGAAGGGUCUAUAAAGGAUGGUAGAUCCUAGUACCCACUAGAUUGCUGCCCAAGUAAAUAUUCAACAAUCUAAAUGUUGUAGGGUUUUCCUAGAAAUAUGCACCGUGGUGCACCCACAUAGGAAUAACUGCUGCAAGAAAGUUAAAAAAAUGACUGUGACUCGGAUGAGGCUUGGCUUGUUAAACGACACAGGUAUUUGAGCUCGAGCCAUUCCAAACUUAAAAUCAAAAUAUUCAAACUUGGUUUAUUUCCUAAUAAAUGGCUUGACAAGCUAACUAUCAAUCCAAGACUGAGGGAAUGGGAGGGAGAGCAGCUCCAAUAUUUUGCUAAUCUUUUUUCAAAUGCUGUUUUUGUGGCUUGCAUUUAAAAAAAAAAAAAUUAUGUGUACCAGCGGGUGUUUGGUUAUGGAGCAGAUAAAGUCUAGCAUACUGCUUCGUCCAUUUUAUAGGAGCAGAAAAGGAUUAAUACCUUAGGUUGCAUUUGGUAGUUGGCAAUCUAAAACAAUUUAAAGUGAGUCCAUCAAAUUGUUAUAUUUAGUAUAUUUUUUGAGUGGCAAUCUACGUUAUCUCCCAUGAAGUAAGGUAGACAAACUCGGAGAGGAGUAGCUAUCAGAUUACCACUUCUUCCGCAAUAUUAUAAUAAAAAAAAUUAGAUAAAAUUAUCCUUCAAAAAAAUUGCACAAAAUCUAUAAUAUGUAUUUUUUUCGUGCCCUACACCCCUCCAUCUGUCCGCAGCUCCUCUGCCCUCUUCAUCCUCCUUAAUGAUGGCCGGCAUUUUCCUAGGAGAAGGGGCAAUGUCGUAGAGGAUGGGGCAAGGGGUGGCGGCGGGGGCCAUCGGAUGGGGGGCAGGAGCAUGGGUGAGAAGAAAGUCGUCCUCAUCGUGGGAGGAGACGAUGGACUGGAUGAAGGUGAUACCAAAGAAGGAGAUGAGGUAGCUGAGGGAGGUGACGAGGCCAAUAAUGAUGAGGAGCUCAGAAAGAUCGAUGACAUGGAGAGAAUCUUUUCACACCACCACCGCAUCAGAAAGACGAGAGAGACGGCAAAGAGGAGGAGAUUCAUGUGUCAAAUAGGGAGCAGGAGGGCGUUUGAUGUCUAGACCCAGGUGGCGUCAUCGACAAAGGCAGCCUCCGAUGGGCUAGUGAUGGUAGCGGCAGCAGCAUUCUUAAGGAACCCCCGACAGAUGCCCAUUGGGGAGAUGAAGAGGAGAGCGAGAGAGAUGCAGCAUGGCAUCGUGUUGGGUCCUUGGAACGUAGAUAGCCAAGGGACCACCCCCCCCUUCGAUGCUUAUAGUUCUCCACAUCCCGCAGCCUGCCACUUCUCCAUGCUACCACUACAUCCACAACACUCCCGCUGCUUCUUAUUAGGAAGAAAGAAGAGCACCAGAAUAAAAUUAUUAAAGAUAUUUUGAAAAUUUGAUUUUGCAUUACUAAUAAUCUGAUUGUCAUAUCAAACAUGUCAAUCAAGAUUUUCAAAAAUUUUACUGCAUCAUUAUCUAUAUGUAUUAAAUACAAUAAUCAAUAUUACUGAUAAUUUAAUUGAUGGUGUUGGACAAUUCAACCGAUCUCUGAUUUUGACUCUAAAUCGGCUUUAUGGACACAAAAUGCCGACUAACAAUCAGUUGACCGACCUACAGUCGGCUAUCCCCGGCCAUCAACAGAUUUAGCCACGACAACUCGACUAAUCUUAGAUUGAUGAUCAUUGGUAUAUCAAAGUUACCGAUUGAUGCUCAUUCGGAUCUUCUCGACUACUGACAUACGAUCGACAUACUAUUGUUACCGACAUAUAGUCGACUUACUUAAAACUGCUAGCACAGAAAGCGCAUGAUGGCCAAAACAUGAUCAAUAACGGAUAUAACCAUCCAUCCCAUGAUCACAUAAUAUCGGAACGUGCGAGACCCUUGUGUCUAACCAUUACAAAUGGUUACCAACUAUUCAUCUAUAAAAGGAGGUAAAUGAACAGCACUUGAUAAGAUAAUUCUGGGUUGAUACUCUGUCACUUGAAAUUUUUUAUCUGCUGUUCACCAUUUUUCACUGACUUAAGCAUUGGAAGAUCCCCACCGAAUAUAAUUUCGAUCAGCACGGACUUUUUUUGCAGGUGCUCUUCUCCGACGAUGGGUGCAACAGAAGAUUGACUGCAACAGAUUGAUGCGUCGGGUAGGAAAAGAUACAAGCAACCAUGACUAAGACCAGAGCUCAGCAUUCCUCCAUUGGCAGAGUCCAGUUCUUCGCAUCCUGUAGUUACUAUGGAUGCACAAAUUGCUGCUCUGAUGCAGCAAAUGAAGGUGUUAACGGAGGCAGUUCACAAUCUCCAACAGCAACAAAUACAACAGCAGCAGCAACCGUCGGUGGAGUCGAUGGCUCAUUCAGUGCCGUCUAGGCAUAGCCGCCAUCCUCCAUGGUGUUCACCCUCCUCAUCUCCAGAAUGACGAUCGUCUCGGCACUCUCACCAAGUCGAGCAAUCAUAUUUUCAACAUUCCCAUCACAUUGCUCACCCUUUACGGUGAUCUCCUUCUCCUUCUUAUGUAUAUGGUAUCAAGAAGGAGAAAAGGCCGUGUGAACCUUCUUCAUCUCCAUCCUCAAAUUUUUUGUGGGACUCUAUCUCUGGAUUAUCUUAGCAAUGAUGGCUUGAUGACUAUGAGUGUAAUUCAAAGAGAUCGACUGCCAACUUGUCUGACUUCAAGUGGAAGGUCAAAAAUCUUCCAAUGACUAUAACUUCCACACUGCCCAACCUCUCUCUCAGCAUAUCUUAGAUGAACCGAUUCUGUCUCAAUUCAAGAUGCCGUAGAUGGAGCCAUACGAUGGCUCCAUCGAUCCAAUCAACCAUUUAGAGAGCUAUAAGGCUCUCAUGAUGAUCCAGAGGACAACUGAUACUUUUUUAUACAUCGGCUUUCCGAUGACUAUUCGAAAAGUUGUUCGAGCUUGAUAUUCUGGGCUACAGUCAGGGGCAUAAACUUCUUCAAACAGCUCGAAUAUUCUUUCGUAGCCCAUUUUAGUACUAGUUGAAAAGUAUUACAGAUAUCAGACAGUUUUUUCUCCAUCAAGCAAGGCGAGACAGAGAUAUUGAGAGAUUUUGUGGCUCGUUUCAACGUAGCCACACUUGAGGUCAGAGAUCUCAAUGAAGAUAUGACCAUAUCAACCAUGAAGAGGGAUCUGAGGAGAUCCAGAUUCACUUAUUCUCUUGAUAAGACUCUCCUCCGAACCUAUGCUAAACUUUUAGAGCACGCAUACAAGUAUAUUCACGCGGAUGAGGGUGCUUCUGACCAGUGCCAGACAGAAGAAAAAGGUCAGAAAAAGAGGCAAAAAAAAAGUGAAGCUCCAAUCGAGUCAAGUCAGUCAAUCACCAAUAAGCGAGCUUCACCUCAAUGAUGGAGUCCAAAGCCGAACAGCUAUGGCAGGUAUGACUCCUAUACUCUUUUUUCUGCUCUUCGUACAUAGAUUUUGAUGGAGAUCGAAGGAGAGAAGUAUCUUUAACAUCUCGUGCCAAUGAAAGUGCCAUUGAGGAGCUGUGACAGAAAAAAAUACUGUCAGUUUCAUCAUGAUCAUGAACAUGAUAUCGAAUAAUACAUCCAACUCAGAGACGAAAUAGAGAUCCUGAUUCGAUGAGGCUACCUCAAAAAAUUUUGACGAGAUCGCCCGACUCAACCUCCCACCAACUAAUAGCCUCAGCCACAAGCUAAGAAAAUAAUCAGCAAUCGACCAAUGACGGAAGUAAUUAAUAUAAUCUCCGAGUGAUCGAAGGACUGGGGUGCAACUUUCAAAGAAGAGUCGGCGAAGAAACGAUGACUUGAUAAUGUAAUUUUUUUUUGAAAGAUGAUGUCCAGAGAAUACAAACUCUCCAUAAUGAUGUUGUCGUUGUCUCGAUGAUGAUAGCAAAUUAUGAUGUAAAAAAAAUUUUAGUUGAUAAUGGAAGCUCAACUGAUGUUCUUUUUUACUCGAUUUUCUCUCGAAUGUGACUAUCGACUGAUCGACUCAGAAGAGUCUCAACGUCAUUAGUCAGUUUUACUGGAGAUAUAGUUACUGUAGAAGAAAAAAUUACUCUCCCACUAACCGUAAAAAUAGAUCCAUAAUAAAGCACUGUUCUCCUGACAUUCACUGUCAUUCGAGUUCCAUCGGCUUACAAUGCCAUACUUGGACGAUCUGGACUUAAUGUCCUGAGAGCAAUAGUCUCAACAUAUCACUUACUGAUCUGAUUUUUAACUAAAAAUAGAGUUGGAGAAAUGCAUGGAGAUCAAUAGCUUGCUCAACGUUGCUUUCUGGUCUCCACACAAAAUAAUCAAUUUAAAAACUCUUUAUCCAUCGAUAAGUUGGAUCAAAGAGAAAAUAAAGAAAGGGAUGAAUCUGUCGAGCAACUGAUUUUCAUCCUGCUGAAAGAAAAAGAUUCUGAGAAGACAGUCUGAAUUGGAUCGUAGUUAUCUAAUUUGGAAUGGUGACAAAUGAUGAAUCUACUAAAAGCAAACAUCGAUAUUUUUUCUUGAUCAGCAAUGGAUAUGCCAGGAAUUUUUUUUAAAGUAAUAACCCAUCGGCUAAAUAUUGAUUCUAAAGUUAGGCCGCUAAGACAAAAAAAAAGAUCUUUUACUUCUGAAAGGCAGAAGGUCAUCAACGAAGAAGUCAACAAGCUCCUCAUGACUGGCUUAAUUAGAGAAGCUAAUUAUCUCGAUUGGCUCAUAAAUGUAGUGAUGGUGAGAAAAAUCAAUAAAAAAUAAAAAAUCUACAUCGACUAUACAAAUCUAAAUAAAACUUAUCCAAAAGAUAGUUUUUCUUUAUCGAAGAUCGACCAACUAGUUGAUGUAACUUCAGGACACCAACUUUUAAACUUCAUGGAUAUCUUUACAGGAUAUAAUCAGAUUCGGAUGACGUCUGAAGACAAGGAGCACAUAGCCUUUAUAACCGAUAAAGACAUCUACUGUUAUAAAGUAAUACCGUUGGGUUUAAAGAAUAUCGGAGCUACUUAUCAACGGCUAGUCAAUAAAAUAUUUAAAAUACAAAUCAGACGAAAUAUGAAAGUCUACGUUGAUGAUAUGCUGGUGAAAAGUCUCCAAACUUCUGAUCAUGUUCGGGAUUUGGAAGAAGCCUUCAACACACUUCAAUGAUAUCAAAUGAAAUUGAAUCCAACUAAGUGUGCAUUUGGAGUAACUUCUAAAAAUUUUUUUAGAUUUCUUAUGUCACAAUGAGAAAUUGAAAUCAAUCUCAAAAAAAUAAAAGCUAUCAUCAAUAUGAAGCACCCAAGCUCCAAAAAAGAGAUACAAUAACUUAAUAAAAGGAUCGCCGCAUUCAGCCAAUUUAUCUCAAGGUCAGUAGAAAAAUGCUUGCCCUUCUUCAAGAUCUUGAGACAAGCAAAAGACUUCUCAUAGUCAGACGAGUGCCGACAAUCUUUUGAAGAUCUAAAAUGAUAUCUGACAUUUCCGUCACUAUUUACAAAAUUGAAAGUGAGAGAAAUUUUGUAUCUCUAUUUAGCAACUUCGACGGAGGCAGUUAGUUUGGUACUCAUCCAAGAGAAUGAAAAUCGAAUUCAAUGACUUAUUUACUACACCAACAAAGUACUUCAUAAUAUCGAAAUAAGAUAUUCAAGGGCAAAGAAGAUAAUUUAUACUCUAAUCAUAUCAUCACAGCGACUUCAUCCAUACUUUCAAGCACAUCCUAUUCUUGUCUUGAUAGAUCAAUCAUUGAAGAUGAUUUUAUACCGACCUAAUACUUCAGGUCGAAUAACAAAGUGAGCAAUAAAACUCAACGAGUUUGAUAUUCAAUAUCGCUCACGUCCAUUAAUGAAGGCAUAAAUUUUGAUCGAUUUCAUCGUCGAGUGCAUCUUACUUGACAAUAAUCCUGAGGAUGAAUCCAACAAUAAAAUAAAGUAAGUUAAAACUUCCGAGUCUGACUUAACAUCGAUGUGGGUGCUAUAUAUUGAUGGAGCAUCCAAUGCACAAAGUAGUGGAGCCACCUCAUCCUCGUCAAUUUCAAAGGGAUUGUAACCAAAUAUGCCCUUUGAUUUAAUUUUAAAGCUUUAAAUAAUCAAGUCGAGUAUGAAACUCUUCUAGCCGGCUUGAAGAUUGUCAAAGAGCUUGACAUUGAUAACCUGAAGGUCUUCACUGAUUCACAGUUGAUUAUCGGACAAGUUAUGGAUGAGUUUAAAGUCUGAGACCCCAUUAUGAUGAAGUAUCUUCAGAAAGUAAAAGAUUUUACAUCAACUUUAAAAUAUUUUAAGAUCUUUCACAUUCUAAGAACAGAGAAUGCUCGAGCUGAUGUAUUUUUUUAACUUACAAUUACUUCAUUCAACUCGUUAGGUCGGACAUUCAUCGAAUGUCUCGAGCAAUCGAGCAUUGAUAAAGUCGAAGAAGUACUACAACUCAAUGAUGAGCCAAGCUGGAUGGAUCCGAUCAUCUAGUACUUGACUGAUGGAACUCUACCUGCAGAUCCUUCAGAAGCCAAACGACUAAGAUGGAUGGCCUCACAAAACAUCUUAAUGAAUGGACAACUCUAUAAAAGAUCGUUAUCUUCUCUUACUGAAGUAUUUGAGACCAGCGGAUGCCAACUAUGCACUCCAAGAAGUUCAUGAAAAAAUUUAUGAAAAUCACUUGGGGGCAAAUCUUUAGUUUAUAAAGUUUUACGAUAAGAAUAUUAUUGAUCCAUCAUGAAGAAAGAUGCAGCUAAACUUGUCCGAAGAUAUAAACCAUGCCAGAAGUAUGCUAAUAUACAAUAUCAAUCGACUAGUCAACUGACAUCAAUUGUUGCACCAUGAUCCUUCGCACAAUGAAAAAUUGAUAUAUUUGGUCCUUUCCCUCCGACAUUUGAUCAGAGAAAGUUUAUUGUAGGUGCCAUCGAUUACUUCACCAAAUGAGUAGAAGCUGAACCUUUAGUACAAAUCAUCGAAAGUAAGAUGGAAGAUUUUAUUCAGAAGUCAAUCAUAUGCAGAUUCGAUCUACCACAUACCAUCAUCACUGAUAAUGGUCGACAAUUCGACAAUCAGAACUUUAAAGAGUUAUGUGCAAAAUUUUAUAUUACGUACAAACUCACAUUAGUCGGCCAUCCACAAUCAACAGUGAGUGGAAGUAACCAAUCGAAUAAUUUUACAUGAUCUUAAGACCAGACUGAAUGAAGCUAAAGGCCUCUGGGUAGAAGAACUAUAUCCGAUCUUAUAGAUAUAUCGGACAACUCCUUACAUACCGAAGGAAGAAUCGCCAUUCAACCUGGCCUAUGAAACAGAGAUGGUGAUUCUAUUUGAGAUCGGAUUGCCAUCAGCAAGAGUGAGAUAAUAUAAUGAGCCGAGCAAUUCAGAAUGUUAGAGAGUCGAUCUAAACUUACUUUAAAAAGUCUGACAGCAAGCUAAAGUUUAGAUGGCAGCAUACGAUAAAGAGUAGCCCGAUAUUAUAACACAAAAGUUAAGCCAAAGAUCUUCCGUACAGAAGACCUAGUCCUAAGAAAAACAAAAAUUUCAAAGCAUCUGGAUUAAAAAAAAUUAUCUCUAAAUUGAGAAGGACCGUAUCGAAUAAUUGAAACACUUCGACAGGAUGCAUAUCGAUUAAAAAUACUUAAUCGAAUAACUAUUUCUCAGACUUGAAAUACCGAUAAUUUGAAGGUAUAUUAUCAAUAAAGUUGAUCACAUAUAAAUAUUCAAAAUGAAACAUUGAAAUUAAGAAUCGUGAAAGCUUCAAUCAACUACAUCUACAAAAUGUCAUGAGGCUGAUAAAUAAUCAGUUAAUCUUUACCAACUAUAUCUCGAUUUUUCACUGUAAAAAUCGACAUACUGAUUAUAUCUUGAUUUUUUACUGUAAAAAUCAACUUUAAUCGAAUGACUACUUAUGUCGAUUUAGUUUUAACUAAGUAGAAUAUUAUGUCAAUUCGACUCCGAUCGAAUAAAAAAUACAUCGACUUGACUACGAUCAGUCGAAGGAUAUUUAGCUUACCAUCAUCUAUCAAAUAGCUAAACAUACCAACUUGACUACGGUCAGUCAAAAGAUAUUCGACUUAUCACCGUCUAUCUAAAUGCCUAAAAGGUGUAUAAGGUAUGUUAGCUGACACUCGACUAAUGGAUAAAUGCUACUAUAAUUAUUAUUGAACAUCCGAUUCACAAAUAGGUAAUCAAUUGUCUGACUGUGAUUCCAUAAUUUUAAAAGUAUAAAUAUAAAAAAAGAGUCUGUACUAAAAAAAAAAAUUUAUUCAUCGAAGAGAAGGUUACAAAAUUGGACCCAAGGUCCGAUUACAAAAUUUGUCUGAUUACAAAAAGAAGAAAGGAAAGUGUUACACCGAUCACCAGUCAGUUUCUUCAUCACCUUGCUUCAGUACAGCCUCGACAGUUGGAGUAGGACCUGAUGCAGUCGGUGCAUCUCCUUCAGCCGAUGUGGAACCCUCUUCAGUAGUCUCUUCUCCCGAAUUAGGAGGAAUGAUGCUGCUCAAGUCCAAAUUCGGAUAUAAUUUUUCGAUCGUAUCUCGAUCAUCUUUGUAUCCGACACAGUAGGAGGCGAAUCCAUCCUCGAGAAUCUCCUCGAAUUCUUUCGAAUUCUUGAAGUUCUUGAUAACCUCAGGGUGCCUCUCGCCGACUCUGCUUUAGCCUUUAUGGAGGCCGACACAGCAUCAGCCAGUGCCAUCCUCUCUAGGAUGGCCCGACGCCUUUUAUGCUCCGCUUCCAACUCUUUAAUGCAGCCGUCUCUCUCUUUAGAGCCAACUGAUGGAGUAUUUUUUGCUCUUGAUCCGAGACUCGAGAGAUGUGAUGUUCUAAUGAGCCGACUCAGGUUCAGUUCUGGAGGAUUGAAGGUCGGCUGUCAUAUAAGAGAUCUCUUCUUGAAGCUUCUUCUUUCAUUCAAUUAUCGUCUCGAGUUGUUUGACCACAGUAGUCUUUUUGGUGUUGGCGGCCACCACCUUAUCCAUCUAUGAUCGGUGAAAGUCGGCGAUCUUUCUAUAUCCACUCUCUAAAGCGUGCAUAUCGUGCACCCACUGAAAAGAAAAAAUAAGUCAAGUCAGAUAAAAAAAAGAAAGAAUGUCAGAAAAUUACUCCAAGUAUCAUCGGGUAAAAGGAAGAAAACAUCUUGGACACCAUCCGAUUCUUUCUGUUCUUCCUAGCAAUCAGGAGAAGAGCAGCUUUGAUGAGUCAUCUAGCCAAUAAUGGAUUGGCUAAAGCUGACUCACUGGUGGAGAUCUGCAUGUCGAAGAAGGUGAGAAGGCCCGCGGAUGACCCAUCAUUGGUAGAAGUGGCCAGCACCUUCCCUCGAUCUCCAGUCGGCAGUCGCGCGCUUGAGACCGCCAUAAAGUCAUUGCUUGACUGCACCCAAGACCGCUCCACUAGAGGAAUAGCUGGCACAGCAGCAGAUUGUUCGAGUUUGGCCGCGACUGCUGAUUCAGUCCGAACCCCCACUGAUGGAGCCGCUGAUAGUUCUACUGUGGCCCCUUCAUCUCUCACCGUCCCGACUCCAGCAGACGGUGCAUCAGUUGGAGGAAGCAUUGUCGGGACCGACAAUGCUAGGACCGACUCGGGAGCUAUCUCUGAUGGAAUGUCGUGUUCUCUUGCCGGUACCGACAGGGUGUCAACCCAACUCUUUCUCAACGGUUGGGAAGAUCCAGCGUCAGUCGCUACCCUCUUCUUGGCAGCAUGUAGGCAGAUGUCAACAGUCAAAACUCAUGCCCUCAUCCGCAUAGCUGCAAUCAAAGAAAAAAGAUCAGUACAGAAUCUAGAAACAAAAAAAAAAGUGAAGUGACCGACUAUGUUAUACCUAAGAAAGUUACCAAACUAAGUCCGGCAUCAUAGAGUGCAUGUUCGGUCAUCAGCUCUCACUGCGGUGGAACUUCCAUAUCUUUUAAUUGGAAGAAGUCUUUCCAAUCGACAGAAUCUACCCGACUAUUCUCAUUGGGGCUAGUUCUCGGAUCACCCCAGCACGAAGAAAAGCCUCAGGGAGAUAAAGAAGAAGCAAAGAAAAAUUGAUUCUUCCAUCCAUAAAUGGAUGAUGGAAGAUCAAAGAUAAAAGAAAGACCCUUCCUCUAGUUGAAAAACCACCAAUCCUUAGCCUUAGGAUGAGGAUGGAGAACAAAAAAGGCAUGAAAUAAAGAAGGAUGAGGAUCAGUCAGAAGAAGCCAACAUAACAAAACAAAACUAAUGAUCAGUCGGAUGAAGUUCGGAGCCAGCUGAGCAGGACAAAGAUUAUAAUAGUCAAAAAAAUUUUGGACGAACUCCGAAAUCAAAAAUUGAAAACCGAUCCGAAGAUCUUCGACAUAGAACACAACCUGGUCUAGAAGAAAAAAAUUCACCCGACCAUCUAAACCAAGAACGAAAAGCUGAUAAUGCUUCGGGAUACAGUACUAUUCUCAGAGCCAUUCAACAAUGGGCUCAGAUAAGGAAGAGACUUUCGUCUUCAGAUUCGAAAGAGAAUCAUCAAUCAGAUUCUCCGACCAACUAUCUCGAGAGAAUGAAGCUUUUUUACUUGCCAUUGAAAAUGAGAAUCAAAAGAAAAAGAAAACCCUAAAAGAAAGAAAGAAAAACUCGACCUGGAGCUAAAGAUGAUGCAAGGAAAAAUAAAACUCAAAAUGCUCUUAACACUGGGGCAGAACCUUCUGUCGCAGGGGAGAGUGACGAAUGCAAAAGUAAAAAAUCCAAAUGAAAGCGACUUUAUAUAUAUAUGAUCCCUCAACGAUUUGGAUGAAGUCACUCAAAUCAAGAUCUUUUUAAAUAUCAACACGUGGCUACAUCAAGACUGACCAUUGAUUGGACGGUUCGAUGCAUCUACUCUCAGAUCAUGCUACCUCACCAUUAUCCGCAUGAAUAGCAUAAAGCCAAUGACAUCCAGAUAUGUGGUCAAAAUCUACUACUCAGAAUCAAAUUGUCUGGAUUCUCCGGAAGCUGAAUUAUCUUUCCGAAAUGACAUCUCAAUGAUGAUCUUACAGUUAUCAAAAUGAUAAAAUAGUUGGAGACCUCUCGUAUUUAAAAAAUUAUUAAUGCCUGCAGUCGAAUCAGAGCUCGAGACAACACAUGACAAACUUCUUUCAUCCAAUAUGAUAGAUCAUGUGACAACACGCAUGUCAGACUACUUUGGACUUGAGAGUGGAGGGCAACUGUUAGGAUAAUUUAACUGACCCCUGAUUCUGAUCUAAAUCGGCUUCAUGGACAUAAAAUAUCGACUAACAAUCAGUUGGUUGACCUACAGUCGGCUAUCCCCAGCCAUCAACAAAUUUAGCUACGACAACUCGACUAAUUUUAGAUCGAUGACUAUCAGCAUAUCAGAAUUACCAAUCGAUGUUCAUUCGGAUCUCUUCGACUGCCGACAUACGAUUGACAUACUAUUGUUACCGACAUAUAGUCAGCUUACCUGAAACUGCUAGCACAGAAAGUGAAUAAUGGCUAAAACAUGAUCAGUGACGGAUAUAACCAUCCAUCCCACGAUAACAUAAUAUCGAAACAUGCGGGAUCCACAUGUCUAAUCGUUACAAAUGGUUACCAGCUAUUCGUUUAUAAAAGGAGGUAAAUGAAUAGCACUUAAUAAGAUAAUUCUGGACUGAUACUCUGUCACUUUGAAUUUUCUAUCUGCUGUUCAUCAUUUUUCACUGAUUUAAGCAUCGGAGGGUCUCCGUCGGACAUAAUUUUGAUCAGUGUAGACUUCUUUUGCAGGUGCUCUUCUCCGACAACGGACGCAACAAAGGAUUGGCCAUAACAGAUGACAAUCUAUAUUACUGAGAAUCAAUAUUAUCUUCCAAAAUUAUUCGGUGAUGCGCAACCAUAGAGGUAGAUGCUGUUCCAGAACCCAGCAUUCACUUUAUAUGCGCAACUAUCUAAAUGUUGCAUGGUGACUACGCUGCAUGAGAUUGAUGUGCUGGAAAAAUCACUAAUUUAUAUAGGUGUAUGUUUUGAUGCAUCAUGAUCAUGAUAAUUAUAGUGAUGGGACAAGACUACCAGAUAUGAUCUUUAAACUUGACUCUCAAUAUAGAGCUAUUAAGACGGAUCAGCCCACCCCGACCCACCUCUAAACGGGUCGGGGCGGGCUGGCCCAUUUAACUGAUGGGUUGGAAAAACUCCAACCCGAUCCGACCCACCAUGAGCCACGAGUUAAAUGGGCCAACCCAUCAAAAUUCAAAAAAAAAAUCUAUAAACAGUAAUAUAAACUGAAUUUCAUAUUCAAUUUGAGCUCAAAUCAACCUAUCAAAGUCUCACAUCUCAAUUCUUAGAGUCAUAAAAUGAAAUUGUCAAACUUAAACUAAAUAUUUAAUACAAUCCAAACUUAAAAGAUUUUAAGUUUUAAUUUUCAAACUAAUUUAAAGGCAAAUCAAAGUCUCAAAAAAUUAUCCACUAUAUCAUUAUUGUGGUCCUCAUCGUUCAAUUGUUCAUCUUCUUCCUCUUCUUCAUCAAUUAUCUCUUCAAUAACAUUAGAACCUUCUUUUGAAAAAAAAAAAAAAAAUAUAUAUAUAUAUAUAUAUAUAUAUAUAUANNNNNNNNNNNNNNNNNNNNAUGUAUGUAUAUAUAUAUAUAUAUAUAUAUAUAUAAUAUAUGUAUAUGUGUGUGUGUGUGUGUGUGUGUGUAUAUAUAUAUAUUAAAAUGAGGUCUCUAUAUUGAUAGGGCCUCCAUUUGACAUAUGAGGUUUUGGAAAAAGAAGAAGAGAGUCACGUGGAAAUAAGAGUCUUGACGCUACAAAAUAGUGGUGGGAGCCACCCCCUUUUUGAUCCCAAUGCCACAAAACCCUAGCCAUCACCUAAGCUUUUCUAUUCGGCCGCUUCCUCCCUCCUGAUUAAGACUCCUAAGGAUGUAAAAACUACAAAAAAAUUAGGAGAAAAUGUAAGAAAAUCAAUGAAAACAAUGGAAAGAUGGAAAAAAAAUGAAAUGUAAGAUUUUUUCCCACAUAAAUUGAUCAUUUUUUUCACUCCUUUUUCUUUUUGAGAGAUCCAUGGGAAAACGUAGGAACAAUCAAUGAAAAUAAGGAAAAGAUGGAAACAAAAUUGAAAGAUAGACCUUUUCCCACAUAGCUUGAUCAUUUCUUUUCCAUUUCACUUUUUUUUCUUUAUGGGACAUUGCAGGCAUGACACCAAGCUUCGAUAUGGAACCCUAAGUCGGCAUGGCUGGCGAAUGGUGGCGGAGGAAAAAGAUCACCUUGGAAGCCAGUCCAACGAUGGUGGGGGUGGGGAGGGGGUAGAAAAGCUUGAAGACCUCCUUGAUAUUGGUGGCUGAGAUGCGGACACUGGCAUUAUCGAGGGCAUGCUCUAUGGUGGAGUUGGGGUGGGUGUUAGCAAUCAGACCAUUACAGUGGCAUCCUCCAUUUCAUGUUAGACGGUGAGGAUGAUGAGGGCAUCGGAUAUCUAAAUAGCUUUCUGUUGUGGCAAAGUUAUUUACUAGUUUUUUAUUGUUUUGACAAAGUAACAUUUAUAUGUAUUGUCAACAAUUUCUUAGGACCUGUUCUUUUGUGAAUAAAUAUCAUAGAAAAGCUGGUCAAUUUUUUCAGUGACCAAUUUACUAAUGUACCCACAUUUUUCAAGAUGGAUAAUUAUUUUUUCAUGGAUGGUAUUUAUCCAUGAAAUAGAAAAAAAUCUUACCCACCUAGGAGAUGGCUAAAUAAUUUUUUUCAUCAACUAAAAAAAUAACCUCUUUAAUUUAUUCCUAAUAUAACCUUAACCUUAUAAUAAUAUAAUAUAACAUAUCAUAUAAUAUUAUAUUAUAUUAUUACAUAAUAAUAUUUAUAUAAUAUUAUAAUAAAUUAUUAUAGUAUAAUAUAAAAUAUUAUAAUUUAAUAUAAUAUAUUAUAAUAUAAUAUAGAAUAUUAUAUUAUGAUAUUAUAAUAAAUUAUUAUAAUAUAAUAUAUUAUCAUAUAAUAUUAUAUUAUAUCAUAUUAUACUAUAUUAUGAUUAUAUUAAUCUAAGAUAUUAAAAUAAUAUAUUAUCAUAUGCUAUAUUCUUAUAUACUAUAUUAUUAUAAUAUAAUAUACUAUUAUAUAUAUAAUAUAUAUAAUAAAGGGUAUUAUGAAAAAUAUGGAUAGAUCUUAGCAACUAAUCUAGGAAAUCAGUCAUACAAAAAAAUAUGGACAAUAAAUUUUUGAGUCAUUUUUUAAUGUAUAAAAGAAUAUAGAUAAAUUAUUUUUCUAUCUAAAUAUUACCUAAAAAAUAUUUAUCCAGAAAAAUAUAAAUUUUUGAAUAAUUUUUUUACUCUCAAAAGAUUGGGCCCUUGAGGUCUCAAUCAUCCAAUUAAGAGAUUAUAUUGUAUACAAUCCUGGAUCAAUCAGUAUUGCAUGGUGAUGAGAUGUAGCAAUAUGUCAUUCACUAAAUAUUGAUAGGAAUAAAAAAUAUAAUUAUAGUACUCAACACAUUUUAUAUCUGAGGAUGAUUUGCAUGCCCAAUGACCAAGGCAUAAGUAUUGAGAUGUUGAAUUAAGCAACCUUUUGUUUUCAAUUGAGCAGUUCACAGCGUCCAACUUUUCUAUUUUCAAAAAAUUACUUUGAUUGGCUUUUGCACAAGGUGAAAGGGUUUUGUUUUUGAAAUGCCAUAAGCUCUAUUUUGUUUGGAUUGAUGAGUGGUUUGGGAUGACCAUGGAGCAUGUGUGUGAGUUGGAAAGAAAAAAUAAUUUAUUACUCAAUAAGAUAAGUUAUUAACAAAUCACAUGAUACUAUUUAUGAAUAUUUUAUCCUCUCUCAUAAGUAGCAUUAUGAAAGAUGUGUGCAACUUAAAUCAUAGAAGUUUUUAGUAUCUCCAAACAUGGAUUUCUUGCUUAACACAUAAAGUUAAGACGGAUGAUAGUAGGCUUUUUAUAAGAAUUAACUGAGACCACCAACUUUUUUAGCAAAUUUUUUAUAUGUUUAUUUAUUAAACUAAUACAGUUGGUUGUUAUUUACCUCACUACUUCAUAAAUCUAUAAUCACUUAAAUGCCAACUUACUAGAAGUAGAUCAUAGAUAGCUCAUAAUGUAUACCAUAUAAAUACCGAGAUAAGAGACCAUUAGAUAGCAAGGCUUUUCUUAUUAUCUGUUUCCUAAGAAUUGGACCUCAUAACUUUCAAAACUAAUGACUUUACGUAGCAAUGCUACUAAAGCUCGAGAAGUGGCCAAUCAAGAGCUUGGCCUUCGAGAUCAAAUAUCUCAUAAGAUGGCAGGUGAGUAGGCUUUUGGAUCUGCUUGUUGGGAUUUUUGCAUCAGUCCAUAAUCUCCUUUAUCUUUUUUUAAUCAAUUUUUUUUAGUUCAAUAAGAUGAUUCUUUUAUGUACAGUAUCAUUAUGAAUAUCUAAGAAUAGUGAACGCACAGAACAUCAUAAUCAAAGUCUCUAGUUUCAUCAUUAAUGACUAAAAUCACAUGUAUUACAUGAGAUUAUAAGCUAGUUAGAUUUAAGAUAGCAUACAUUUAAAUCUCACAUAUUUUGAGAGUAUAAAAUAUUCAAAUAUUAAAAAAAAAUUCAUUAAAUUAUGAUUGGGAAUAAUAGGGCUUUGGAUCUUCUUUGGUCUAAUAAAAAAAACUUCUCUUCCAAGCGGGGAAGCUGACCAAAUCCAAAUUAGUUUCGGGAUGUAAUUAUUUGCUUGUGCCAAAAUGGAUCUAUUUGGCUAAAUGGGUUGAAAAUUUUAUUGAAUUCAUAUAUUAGGUCAAUAAAAUUAGUGAGACAAUAGAUUUGCAGUCUAAACUUAGCAUAAAUCUAAGGUUGGUUUUGGAGUGAGCUGGUUUGAAUUAUAGAGGAAGGAAAAAAAUCUAUAAAUGUUGUAAAAAAUCGUUGGCCUCUUUUGGUCUAGAAUUUGACCAAUUAUAGUAAAAAAAAAAAAAAAGGAAGGAGGAAAGGGCAAUGGCUGGCGGUGAUGCAGCAGCCACACGACAACAAUGAACAGCGAACAGACUCGAUCUGAUAGAAAUCCAACGGAUACCACAUCUUGGACCGUGCUAUCGAGUUGACCUUGACCACCCUCCACUGUUUGACGAAGCCGCCAGGCAGAAUAUCUUUUAGGUGUGGGAAGCGUCAGAUCAAAAUCAAAAGGCCACCAUCUCGCCACAACGGAUCAUCGAUCUCUUUCACAAACGUCGAGUUCCAGCUUAAACUAAUAGCAUCCACGCAGGCCAAUGCUUGCGAGCUAAAAAUAACAAUCUACGCCCAGGUGUAUAUUUUUUAUUUAUUUUAUACGGUCGACUGGAAUAGAUUGAUCCACGAAAUUUCGUUAGUACUUCCUGUAAUCGAUCCAGCCAUAGACCCCCGCACGGUGGCAUUUAUGCGAAUAAGCUUAACGACCAGGGCACUUAACUUGCAAGGACACCUCAUUGUUUGGUACACACCUCACCCAAAAAAAAAAAAACCAAACAAUGACGAAUAACCUAACGAAUAACCCGAAAAAACCAAACAAAGACGAAUAGCCUAACAAAUAACCCAAUAAAGACCAAACAAAGACGAAUGAACGUCCCUUUAGACCGCUCUUAGACGGCGGUCCCCACGAUCCCCGCUUCGUCAAGUUCGUUUAGUUUAACAUCGUCUCUACUUCGGACGGCAGCCAUCCAGUGAUCGCGUGGGUUCCCUGCUCAUCGUUCUAUCAAAUAACUACUUGCCACGUGUAAAUUCCGUGGGUCCCAUGUCGUUCCAUAGAUUUAUUUGCCGAUGCCGCAUUCCCUGUUCUGAGUAGAACAGCUGAUCAAACCCAUUCGCAAUAAUUGCUCUUAAAGUUUAUAUAAAAUGGCGAUUUUAGCCCUUCUCUUCUCCGCCCACUCCCAUUGCAAUUGGGGAUCAGGUACAGUCCCAAAUACCAAACUCCCAAUCGUUUCUUCCUUCUCCAUUCCCUGAAUAAGAACAAAAAACAACUCCUCCAUAGAAAGGAUUCGAGAAAAAGAAGGAAAUAGAAGGGAAGCCACCUUGCUAGCUUCCAUUCUUUCUUCUCGUUUUUCUGUAAUAUUUUGUCACAUUAUAUUUCCAGUAAGAGUGGCGGAGAAGUUUGAUGAAUAGAAUUAGGAGCCAGGAAGAGUGAGAGAAAGAAAGAGAGAGAGAUAGCGAGAGGGGUUUUAAUUGGUGUGGUGUUGGGGGAUGGGAUUCUCCACGGAUAAUCUGAAGGGGUUGGUGCUGGCGCUGCUCUCAAGCGGGUUCAUCGGAGCCAGCUUCAUCAUCAAGAAGAAAGGCCUCAGAAGGGCCGCCGCCGCUUCUGGGAUCCGAGCAGGUCGGUCAACCCCAAUAUAAACUCAUCUCACUCUCUCUCUUUAAUUCUUCACGAAUUUUGAUGUAGGUGUUGGUGGAUAUUCGUAUCUCUUGGAGCCCCUCUGGUGGGCUGGCAUGAUCACAAGUAACCUCCUUUCUCCUUAUUGUAUACAAAAUAAUUAUAACUUUGGUAUCAUUUAGUUUAUAUAACAGUGUCACGCGCGAUCGGUUCAUUUAGAUCACUGGUUGUCUGGCAUGAAUUAAUGGUGAGAUAUUUGUUCAGUGAUCGUCGGAGAAGUCGCGAAUUUUGUAGCAUAUGCGUUCGCGCCGGCAGUUCUUGUUACUCCUCUUGGCGCGUUGAGCAUUAUCGUUAGGUAGAUCCUUAACCACUUGUGUACUGGAAUUUAAGAGCUAUGUGGAUCAUCUGUGACUGUUAAUGUGUGCUGAUGGCGUCUGGAAUGGCAUGUGUAGUGCUGUGUUGGCUCACUUCGUUUUGAAGGAGAAGUUGCACAGUCUUGGGAUUUUGGGUUGUGUGAUGUGCAUUGCAGGGUCUGUGGUGAUUGUCAUUCAUGCACCGCAGGAGAGAGAAAUCAGCUCGGUUCAGGAAAUAUGGAAAUUGGCUACUCAAACGGGUAAGCUGAUUUCUUCACUUUGUGUCUUUUUUUUUUUUUAAUAUAAAUAUCGAUUAAGUUUUAUUAUAUGCUUGGAUUGGUUGUUUUCAGCUUUCCUGCUGUAUGUGGCUUCGGUUAUUGUAUUGGUGUUCGUGCUAAUUUUCCAUUUUGCUCCACGCUAUGGGCAUACAAAUGUGUUAAUUUACACAGGCAUUUGCUCUUUGAUGGGCUCUCUCUCGGUAAUGAUUGUAUUUGGUAAUUUGUUGCUACUUUCUUGUUUAUAUUACUAUGCUACAAUUUAAUCUAUAAAACACACGCAAAGGGGAAUAGAAGUUAAGACUCCAUAUGUCUUAAAGUAUAAAUAUACUAUUUACUCUCUAUGAUAUUUUUACAUAUGCAGGUAAUGAGUGUCAAAGCUCUGGGUACUUCGCUCAAGCUGACUUUUGAGGGUAUGAAUCAGUUAAUUUAUCCCCAGACAUGGUUUUUUAUGCUCGUAGUGCUUACAUGUGUGAUAACACAAAUGGAUUAUCUUAACAAGGUGAGUAAUGACAUAGAAUAUAUUUGUUUCCCUAUGUGCUUAUAAUUUUGCUGGGAUUUCUUCCUGUUGAUGUUUUUGGGUUUGAAGCCAAUUUCUUUUUUUAAUAUAAACAUAACUAUAAGAAGUAAAUUUUUGACUUUGGAAUUAUUAAGUUUCUGUGUAUAGAUUUCGUGUAUAUGAUAUUGUUUCCUUAGUUGAUUCAAGCAUAUUUUGAUUCAUCCCUGUUGCUUUAAAGCAUCGUUGGUCUUUGAUUGCUCAACCUUUUUUAAUUUAUUUAACCCAAAAUGCUGCAUCAUUAUAUUUUCUGUAAAGAACAACAACAAACUGUCUUUUGCAUUAUCCCUGUAACAAGAUCACCUAAAUUUUCAAACUGACUCAUAGUUGGUUUCAGUUUUACAAAAGAAGAGGCAACUAGUGAUUUUAAACAUAAAGUCGUCUCAUCCUGAAUCUAGCCACAUGAAAUAUGUGAAUUGUAGUAGGUUCAAGCUACAUCAUAUUGCUAUGUAGUGCACCCAGCCAGCCCAGUAUAGGUUCACACCAUUUAGGCUGGAGUGGGUGGUGGUAUUGUGUGCUGGUGCCAUAUCAUGCCAGCCUGGCAGUGGCCAUGUGUGUAACUUGCCGGUGCUUGGCAUGCCUUCAGACCAUGAAGUGGCAAGCAUUGACAUGCAGCUGGUAAUGUGCCAGCGUUGUUUGCCGGUAACUCACGAUCAUGACCUACAUCAUGCCAUAUUAACAGUGCUGAUCAGUAUGUUGAUCCAUGGUGUGACUUAUCUCGAUAGGCUCCCUACAUGGUAUGUACGACAUUAUUCUGUAUGUGCCAGCACUUUUAGUCCCAAUAAUUGUCAAAUUACUAGAUCACGAUCUUUUCAAGUAACAAACUAUCAUACAUGUAAUACAGCCAUUUCAUCACAGUGUUCAAUAUAUGCCAAUGUAGUAUUUUAUAACUAUAUGAGUUUUUCCAUCUCUAUUGUGUGAAAACAAAAAACUUCUGUUAGAUUCAGCGAUAGUUCCUCUAUAUCAGAUCAAGUCUAGCAAAUCAAUGGAUUUUAAUAUGAUUAAGGUUUGGUACUGAAUAUUUUUCUUUCUGAACAGUUAUUUUGUUGUAUUUUUUAGUGAGGGCCAAGUGUGUAGAUUUGCUUGCACGAAUGGACUUCUUCCUCUUAUGAUUCUCUUUGAUGAAUUACUGUAUAAUAAAAAUUCUGCAUCACCUACAAUAUUAAUAUUAAUAACAUCAACUGAAUGAGUAAUAGUCUCUCAAAACAGUUUAAGGAGAUGAUCACUAAAUCAUGGUGCAAGUAAACUGAAAAGUUUUAGAUAGCCACGUUACUUUCAUAGUACGCGGUAGCCAGGAUACAGGUACUGUUAGGUCAUAUGAAAGUGUUCUAUAGGUUGUAAGACUUUGGAAGUAUCUGAUAAAGGUAUCUCAUUAUAAAUUGACAGCAUUUGAUACUCUGUUUUUAUAUGUUCAUGCUUUUAAUUUCUUAGUUAAAGAAUUAGGAAAUUUGUAUGCAUGCAUCACAUUCAAUUUAUUUUUUAAAAAGUGAAACUAAUUGAUCAGUUUAACUGUGUAGUUGUUAAUAAGUUGAAUGUCAUUGAGUGGAAGAAAGAAUUAGCAAGUGUUCUCCGUGGAACUCAUAAAAAAAAAGAAAUUUUACAUAUACUCUUUCCAUCAAUAUUUAUCUAGCUAUCAUGCAACCGUAUCUGAAUACUCUGCUGGAUAGUGGCUUUAAUGUGCUUAUGACUGGUCAAGUUAUCAAAUGUAGUUUUUGGAAAUUUUACCUUUUUUUGUCUUAAUUAAUAUAGUUUGGUUUUAUAUCAUGUUUCUUAUCUUGUUAUGAUAUAAAGCUAUCUCAAUCUUGAAGCUAAUAGAGUUUUUAUCUAAACCAGGAAAUAGAAAUAUUUUUUUUAUUUAAUUUUCUUAUGCAUCUGUUAGAUUUUUUUUUUAUUUGACUCUUUUUUUUUAAUUUUUCAGGCUCUGGACACCUUUAAUACUGCCAUUGUGUCUCCAAUAUAUUAUGUGAUGUUCACCACACUUACAAUCCUUGCGAGUGUCAUAAUGUUCAAGGUAUUGUUUGAUAGUUGUAUUAAUUGCAGGUCUUAUAAAGAUAUCCUUGUAUAGAGUUGUUAUCAAUCAAUUUAGCACUGAUCAUGCAAUCACUUAUGCAUGGCAACCACAGUGGAGAUUAUAGUUAUCUUAAUGAUGUGUAUCAUCAACUUUAGUUUAACGAUAUAACUGCUUGAUUCAAAUUUAUGAAGCUUGAGAAGUUUCAUAUAAACUUAUACCAUCUGUCUUAGUGUCUUUUGUUCAAUGCAUUGUUCAUGCUCUGGCAGUUGCCAGAACUGUCUUCCCUUCAAUUUGAAAUAUAUAAGCUAAACACCACUUGCAGGAUAAUCAUUGCCCAAGAAUCACACCUAACAUGUGACCUAACCUUAGUAAGAAGAAUGCAGCUCUCGUCACACCUCAUUAAUCAACUUAUAUCCUGCUAGCUUAUGGUGAUCAAGGAAGACUGUAGGUCUGCUGCAGGUAGCAUUGACAUGUUCUGUGUUUUUGGCAUCAAUCAGCAGGCUUAUCAUUUGAUGUUUACAUGACUUAACACUUUUAUAUCUGGAAUUUUGCUGAAAUUGUGCCUUGACAUUCAAUUUCCUAGAAGAACUAAUGAUCAGGCUGUCCAUUAGUCCAAACAAUUUAUAGCUUGUCUCCAUUUUACUGAAUACAGCAACGAGAGCACCUUUGUGACACAAGUCAUUGUUGAAGAUGUUUAAUAUGGGCCUAUGUGGUAUGCACCUUUAUUCAUUAUGUGCAUAAGAUUGUCUCUGUAAAUCAGAUAAAUGGAAACACCUUGUAUGCUCUCACCUUAUUUUGACACACAAUUGGGUUUUAUGACACCACCCACCAGUUAGAUUUCUUUUUCUCCAUUUUCCUAUGAGAAGGAUUUCUUUGGGGAGCCUUGUGCUGGAUCUUCAGAUCAUUGCUUAAUGAGUCACUGCAAGUCAAGUUCCAACAUGAUUGCAGGAUUGGGAUGGACAAAGCAUGGGAAGCAUCAUUUCUGAAAUUUGUGGCUUCAUUGUUGUUCUCUCUGGAACCAUUUUAUUACAUGUGACAAAAGACCAUGAUCGGAACUCCUCAAGAAGUGCGUGAGCUAGCCUGCCAUAAUUUUGAAGCGUGAUUUUCUGCUUUGCUUGCUUUCAAACUAUUGCUCCUGUAUGAACCUGUGUUUUAUAAUUUUGAACAUAAUGCAGGUAUGUAUGCACCAUUAUCCCCGUCUUUGACUACUAGACUUUGUGGUGGAAAUGGGGAACUGCUGAAGCACAUUGAUGAGGAGAUGGGAUCUUCAGAAGAUAUAUGCUUGAGAAGACAAGAGCUAUACUAGCAACUUGAAACAAAGAGUUAGUCUAUGUCAACAUCCUAGGGUACUAGGAUCUCCAUAUAAGGAUUCCAGUCCGGUGGCUCAAACUUGUAGAAUUGAGUUGAUUGGCAGUUGAAGAACUGAUGAGCAUUCAUGCCAUGUUGCUUCUUGUGAACUGCCACUUGGAGGCUCUUAAAACAGUUUUGUGCUGAUUGCUUGGUGGGAUGAAGAAAUAAUGGCUGGACCUCAGCUUUGCAUUCCAUUGUCUACCGUAAAGUACUCGGAGUUUGUGAGAUUCUGGGGUGAUCUUGCCCAGUGAUGGUUCAUGACUAGGUGGUUGGAAUGAUUUUUUUUUUUUGUGCAUACAUGGGCAUUCAAUUGCCAUAUCAGGAGGGUGGAAUUUCUGGGCAUAGCAUGCAUCAGAAAAUCGACGACUGGAAUUGCUUUGUUCAAGAUUGAUGGGAGAAUUGGAUAGCAGGAUCGGACUUAAGUUCUUGUUUGGUUUCAUUAUUGCAUGUAUAGAAACAAUUGAGGAAUAUCUUAUGCCAGUUUUGAGUUAUUAUUUCCACCAAAUGCACUGGAUAAUGUCAGAUAGAUUUGCUUAUUGAAUGUAUCACUAUCUCAAGCAGUGCAACGACGAUGUGACCGCAUGAUUGAUUUCAAGGUCAAACUAAGCUGCCACAUUAAGUAUAAUCUACUUUGUGGUCCUUAAAAAUCUCUUAUAGACUUGUAGUCUUAUUGAUCUCAUGUUUGAUGCCUAUGUUGGUUUCUAUGAAAACAAAAAUUCACGAUGUGAGGGACAAGUGCCACUUUCAAUAUUCGUGAACCUUAAUCAGGGACUUUUUUGUUAUUGUUCUUAUUUUUUUUGCUUUAGGCUUUCCUACAAAUUUGUGAAAUAUCACAUGGAGAUCGGUGUUCAAGAUGGCUUUGCACAAAAUUUGUGAUAUUCCUCGCUUUUAUUCUCUCUUCUGGAAGCAACAAAUCCUUGCUAUCAAAAUACUCUACAGUUUUUACAAACAAUGUAAACAAUACGAAACGGUUUUGUCAUACUUGGUCUUCAAUCCGGUUCAUUUUUCUUCUCUUGGUUUUUGAAAAUAAAAAUAGAGGGGAAAAACAAUUCCAAAGGGGGCACACCCUCCCCACCGUCCCUUUUUUUUUUUGGGUGGUAAAACUAGAGCUUCAAGCUUCAUUGAUGGUGUCGUGAGAGAAAGGUUAUCUUUAGUCUCACAUCAGUUGGAAGUCAAAAGGAAGUGUGGUUUAUGUAGAUUGAAAUCUUCUCUUCCACGUAAGGUAUUUUUUAGAGGACAAAAGCGUGAGGCUUCAAAUAGCUAUAGGCAAAGAUGGUCAGAAUCAAAAUGGACAAUACCUCACGUAUACGGGUGCGGAGGUAGAUGGUAUUUGACAACAAGAAUAUAGCAUAGGUACGAAAUAUAAUUUUGUACAUCAUGAUAAAAAUUAAAAAAAUUAUGAAAAAAAAAUGAAGGUAAAGAUAGAGAUAAAUAGCACCAAAAGAGCUGCAGUACUGCCAAUAUUAUAGUGAUCGGUGGAAAUUGCAAUUACAGUUUUGCAAAGAUAAAUAUCAAGAGAAGCAGCUGUCCCCAUCAAUAGCAUAACAAAGAUAACGUUGAGAUGUUAAACCUCUGAUCCACAGAUAUUGUGUAGUUGAACAUGACUGAGAAACAUGUUACGGAAAAUGAAUAAAAUAGUAAUGACGAUGAGAAGCAAGAAUUCAAUCCGUUUAAAAUCCCAUGUUUACCACACAUUUACUAAUAUGUUAUGAAUUACAAUGCCCUUCUUGAAGUAUGGUGACCCUGAUAAAAAAGGUGCCAUUGGCUUGUUAGCAAGGGCUCUUUCAUCUUUUGUACCAGUGAUCAAGAAUCAUAAUUUUUCUUCUCAGAGUCGGCAUAUUCAGGGGUCAAAGGAAAGGUUAACUCAAGGGCUAAACUAUCCUGUCUAGUCCAAACUUGGCUUCAGGGGCCUCCUGAAUCAAAGGAUGACCCAUGUCAAAAGGUAAAUAAGAUAUUAUUACAUGACAGCACUAUAUCAAUAGCGUAUGUAUAUUAUGUAUAUAAAUAAGAUAUUUUAUUUUAUUUUAAUUUUAUCCCUACCUCAUGAGUUAGCCAAAUACAAAUUAGCAUGGCAUGGUACGCUUAAGAAGGGCAAACUUGUCUAUUUUCUUAAAAAUAUAUCUUCCAAACCCAGUUUGCAGCUGAAUACCAUCUUCUAUACCCUCCAAAAAGCAUCCAAACUUCCUAAGUAAAAACCAGGUUAUACAACAAUUCUUACCAGAUAUAAAUUUACUUUAAAACCAAUAAAAUCAUAUCUUAAUCACACCACCAUGUUUAAACUCCAAAACUAUGUCUCAUGGAAACCGCAUCCAAAUGGGCUCUAGUGCAAAGAAAAGCAGAGUGAAGCAGGUAGGACCAUCAACUCUGAAGUGAAACCGCGCGCUACACAGACCAAGCAGCUACCAUUGGCCCACCACUUCUUUAGGAUCAAAAUAGGGAUGCAAUCAAAUCGAGAUAGGUCCACUGUCCAUAGGCUCAAAUUUGAUCCGAUUCAAAAUAUUUGGAUUCAAAAGCUAACUCAUGGUCGAUCUAGUUUUAAUAUCCAAUCUCGAAUUUGGCUCAAUCAAAAAUAAUAAUAACAAUAAUACUCAAAAUUGGCUUAGCUCAACUUGAAUAUCAACUGAGCAAUAAUUAAAAAAUAUAAUUAAAAUAUAAUAUAAUAUAAAAUAUUAAAUCAAUAAUAUAUUAUAAAUAAAAAUUAAAAAUNNNNNNNNNNNNNNNNNNNNAUAAUUAAUAAUAAUAAUAUAUAUAUAUAUAAUAAAUAAUAAUAAUAUAUAUAUAUAUAUAUAUAUAUAUAUAUAUAUAUAUAUAUAUAUAUUCAAUUAAGCUCGUGAGCUUUCUAAUUGGCUAUUUCAUUACUGGAGCUUGAUUCGAAAAUUUACUUGAGCCCAGUAAUAAUCAAGUUGAGUCCGCCAAACUACCUGCAUAUAAUUGAGAUUCCAUGGCCCACAUUGAGGCCAUGCCAAAGCAUGGUACCACCUGUCAUGGAACCGGCCCACGUUAGCCAUGCCGUGAAUGGGGCCACGAGGCAGCUCAAUGGAACCCAAAAUAUUUCAACUAUGCUCCCAUUGGACCUAAUAAUGCAAUCAUUUGACGUUGUCGGCUGCUGCUUCAUUUGCAAGCCAACGUCGUCUUCCACCCACUGGCCUCUGCAUCCUUCCAAUCAUAAUAUCUCAUUGAAUGAAACGGCAGACCAACUGCAAGCCAUCCGUCUCCCGUGUUUAAGCUGAGAAAAAUGCUUUUGGAAGGGGGUCCCACAGCUUUGUCCAGCUUGGAGAUUUAGGAAGUCAUUAUUAGCAUUCUAAUUUUGCUUGUCGUGCAAUCAACUCAAGUUCGAACCGAUUAAUUAUGAUUAUUCCAUUUUUUGAGUGUAAUGAGUUAGCUAAUAUUAAUUCGUUGCACCAUCUUCUCCCAUAUCUCAUUCAAUACCUUAUAGAAAUCACUCGGAAGAAGAAAGAAGGUUCCCACAUGGAGUAAUCAUUUUUAUUCUGGUUCAUACCAACCAUUCCGCUUCAACUCUUUGUUUAUCAUUGCAGGAUGACGUUGCUUCUAGAUAUAGUAAUGAUCUCUCUCCAAUUAAAAUUGGAAUUCAGCCUUGAGAGUGUGCUUUGUUAAGCUGUUUUAGGAGGCAUAAAGAGUUCACAUGGGAGAGGGUAUAGAGGGGUAGAAGACUUGGCUGUGGCAAUGAAAAUGGUGUGGGUGGCCCUUGGAGACUGGAUCUCGUCACCGGCAACAUCAACAUCAACUUCUCCCCCUUUGAGUAAUCCUUUGAUUAUUCCAAAGCUCUUUUUUGGUCUAAUUCUACUUUUCACAUGUUUCAUUCAUGUUCUCUCCUUUUAUCUCUCUUGCCCUUUCUUUUUAAUUAUUAGAUUUGAUGGUCACAACAAAAUCAAAUGUGCAGCAUCACUUAUCACAUCGAACCCAAAAUCAUAUCUGUUGCUGCGCCUCUCCGACAAUAUUCGAUAUAUCAAGACAGAUUGGAUCGACCACAUAACUGGAGUAGAGCAGACGCCACUCUGGACUCCGAGUACCUGCAAAAAAAGUCUACUCAUGCUGGAGAAGGAAAUGAUGGGUUCUCCGAUGGAGAACCCUCCGAUGCUUAAGUCAAAGAGUGACAGAGAGGGAGAAUAAUGAAGAAAGAUAAUGAGAGUGUUCAAAGAGUGUAGAGAAUCCCCCUUUCUUUUCUUUUAUAGCAAAGUUUGUUAGGCAGUUAGCAACCUUUCAGACCAAAGUAGUGGACCAUUAGCAAGUGCUAGCAGUUGGUUACGGUUGUCCGUAAUUGAUUACGGGGCCAGCUGUCCAUGUUCGUGUGGCAAGUGCUGCUGUUAUAAUCGAAUGUCAACUCUUCAUCAUCCACGCACCAAUAGCUUUCCAUGGUUUUCGAACUGUAGCAUAGAUCGUAAGAACUAUAGCAUCGCUAGUAGAGAACUGGGACGGCGAUGGGGUGAGAUCGACUGAAAGCCAAUGAUGUAGACUUCGUCCAAGGCCCGAUCUUAUAUGGUCAGUCAUCCGUUAAUGACAUCAUUGCUGCAUAGAGCACACAUCCUAAGUUAUCCACGUCAUAAUGCCAGGCAUCCGCUAUAUCUUCAAAGAUUGGAUACAUCAUCAGGUGUACCAAAUUUGGCCCAACACUUGCCCCUCACUCUCCAAUUCGGAAGCAUUUCAUACUGGAAAGUAGAUCAUAGCCUAGAUUAUGAGGUCAGAUGCCAUGGUGAACUCCUCGACCUUUGUGAAGCUUCAUUGAUACAAUCGAAGUGGUUGAACACUACUCCGGAUUUACACCGAUGUGAUAAGGAUUCCACUUCAACAUUGGGCCCUCAGUGACUUGCAUCAAGUCAUGGCCGAAAUAAUAUUUUAAUUGGUUCUUGGAGUCAUCGGGCGCUCCUGGGUCCGACCACCAUUCGACACUUGCAACAGCAUGAACUUCAUUGCUAAAUCGUUGUGAUGUCAUUCCGUAUUAAUUACCUAUGAUGGCACACCGUCUGAAUUUGAAAAAAAAGUACUGACACGUCCGUUAUACAAUAAUGUCAGAGCAAGAUUUGAGGCAUCAUAAUGAUUUCAAAAGAGGUGGUUUUCAAUAUGCCACCUCAAUCCAUUGAGUGGCACCGCAUGGCAAUGCUCUAGGCGUUGGAUGACAUGAGUAAGAGGAUCAUGACCGUCAAUGUUCUCAUAUUUAUUUGAUCAUUUGAUCCUGGUCUCCAUCUUUCUGCCAUUACUGCAACUCUUGUUCUUGAGGUUCCUACUGUCAAAGUCUUCUUCUCGGAUAGCGCUUGAGCAUUUCUAGAUCAAGUUCAUAGUAAGAAGUCUCCUAGGUGAUUCACCAUAAUUUUCUCCUCUUUAUUCUUUAAACUUAGAUGCUUCAGCAUUCUUCAACCUUUCCACAGUUUUCAUAGGUUUCUCUUCUCUUUUUUGGAUUUCAUGGCUCGCCAUAGACUUAAGAUGGAUAAUAGCCCUGAGUCUUCUAGUCCCUCUAGGGUAGCUUCUCAGAAGGCUUCUAAUGAGGCUUUUCAUGGUCGGGGAUGGGCAUCCCUAGGAUCCAAUUAUGAAGAGUCCCAUCUCAUUGAAUCCAACUUGAAGAAGUUUCGAGUUCAGUACUUCGUUCCCUCUUCAUUUAGGUUAAUAGCCCUUGGUAGGGAUGAUUGGGUUUCGAUUCUUCCAGAAGAUUGUGUUGCCUUCUACAAGAAGAUACUUCUCUCUGGUCUUUUAUUCUCUUUACAUCCCUUCAUCUAUUAUAUUUUAGAUUAUUAUCAUAUCCUUCCCACUCAGAUAGCCCCGAAUGGGAUUAGAUCAUUGAUAGCUUUCAUUUUGAUUUGCGAUAGCAUUAAGAUAUCUCCAUGAUGUUCGCAUUUUCGAUCUCAUUUUUUUUUAAGAAGCACCCCUAUAACAAAGAGUGGUGGUACUUCUUCCCUCGAUCGAAGUGUAAGAUUGUAGCAGAUCUUUCAUCUUCGAUCCAUAGUUGAAAGAAUAGGUACUUCUUUAUCUUCUUAAACUAACUUUGGGGUUUUAGGAUAACUUGUGGUAGACUUUGGCUAGAGCUGAACUCUAGGAAAGAUCCCUCUGAAGCUGACCUAGGAGAUUACAAAAAAUUGAUCCAGACAUAUGGCUCCCAAUUCAAAAGUCUCUUGACUGAACAGGUCUGUUUGACAUGGGCAUCAACCACGUCCCUCCUCAAUGUAUGUUACCAUUCUUUAUGCAUUUUAAUUGCUUUAUCUUCUUUUUAUUUUUGACUACUAACUAUCUUUUUAUUUUCACUGUUGUAGAGAUGAAGCUAACACUUGAUGAUAUCGUCGUAGUGCAAGCAAGAACAAAGAAGAGGUCAGGCCUACCUCCAAAAGUCAAGCCCUUGAAGAGGAAGAAGAUUACCACUUUUGGUCUACCCCGAACUCGAUCGAAGUCUCCUGAUGAAAGGGCGGAGACAUCGGAUAAGGAGCUCAGAUUGGAAGCUUCGGGAGUCCAUACACCUGAAGUGGAGGUCAUCAUACCGAUGAGUAUGUCUCCUAGACCUUUUUCAAAAGUUGACUGACCUUCUUCCAAACCAGCUGUCCGAAAGAAGAUAAUUAUACUGAUAAAGAUGGUGAAGGAGAGUGCAUCGGUGAUAAUAGACAGUCGACUGGCUAAAGAGCUGAUAAGUCUUCUACUUUUUGCAUAUUGAAAUUACAAAAAGAUCUUAUAGUGGAGAGUGAACUAGAUGCAAAAAGGUCUUACAAUGGAGAGUGAACUAGAUGCUAGUUUAAUUAGCAUCGUCGCAGUGAGCUUUUUUCUUUCUUUCUUUUUUUGCUCUCUUUCUUUUUACCUCUCACAGUUUGUGCUCCUUGUGUAGAUAGAUGAUAAACUCACUGAUCUUCAUGAGGAAAGCUUUAGUCGAGCAUAAUCGAGAUAAGGCUUCUUUUGAAGAGAAGUUGAAAAAGGUAGAGGAUGAGCGAAAGACGACUUAGAAGGAGUUGAAGGCAAUUGAGUAAAAGCUAGAAUCCACCUCUAAAGAAGUCAAAGAUGCUAAGAUUUGGCUGGGGUUUGAUCUUAAGGAGUCCCGUGAAAGAAUAAAGACUUUGGAUCAAGACGUUAAGAAGGACCAGGAGGAGAGGAAGAGAAAUUUGGCUGACCACCGGCACUACAAGAAGAAGACCAAGAAGGCCCUUCUUGGAGUGGAGGAUAAAAUCAGACAUACAAGGGUCCAAGCAGUGAAGGACUACAAGGCGUCCAAAGACUUCAGAGUUAAAGUCGUCGAAGAUGCCUUCUCCUCGUACCAUAUUAGCUUCAAAGAGUGCCAUGACUUGGUGAAGGAGCUCUAGCUAGAUGUGGAUAUUAGCCGCAUUGUCCCCAAGGUGGGUGAGCCAGAGGACAACAAAAGCGAAGAGGAUGAGGCUCCUACCCAUGAAGUGGCGACUUUUCCAGAGAUGGUCGUUCCUUUCGAUGCCAUGGCCACUGUCAAACUGACAGUGGCCAGCAUCAUCACAGAUCUUGCUUCCGACCAGGCAUAAGAAGAGGUUCGCUCCAUCGCUGCCACUAAAGUCGCUACCAAAGCCUCUCUUGCAUCAGUCGAAGUUCACCCUGCUCCAAUUGGAGACCUCAGGAUAGACUCUUUCAAAGAUCAACCAAGUCAAAAGGUCACUACCGAAGUGUUGUCUGUUCAAUAAUACUUUAUAUCUUAUUUUUUAUUUUUGUAUUCUCUUUUUGUGAGAAACUUAUAACAAAAGACAUUGUAAUGAAAUGAAGUAUUUUUCUUCCGAUGUUCUUUUCUUUCUUUUGUCAUCUUUUUGAUUUUUUUCGUACUUGCAGCCUGCUUGGAAGGCUUAUACAUUUUGUGAAAAAAUAAUAUAUCUCGAUGAUGAGAAAAAGAUCCCAAAGCCAACCAUUAGAGUGACCAAGAUAUGAGCAAUCGUCAAGAACACAUGCAUAUUUUUCUUGAUAUAUGAAAUGGACUUCAAUCGAUGCAUCGCCUUCUUUCUGAAUAGCGAUACGAUAUUCCUGACCUUGACAGACAUCGAUGCCGAGUAGUUGUGCUAUAAAAUCUAGAGUGCUCCUACUGACAUAUUCAUCCAAUUCAUCAAGAUUUCUCUAGAUAUGGCCAUCGCAACCAGCGGAUCUUCGAAGAGUCAAAGCUACAUCAAGGGAUUGAGGACUGAAGCUCCUGAGGAUCCGGGGUUACUGCCUAAACAUCCCAAAGCCCCCAGGAGUAGAGGAAGAUCAUCGGGGAGAUCCAAAGAACGUGGGAGAUGAUGGGAUAUUUUGUAUUCAUUUCUUUUUUUCUUCAUUUUAAGGAAUGUAUGAAAUGAAACUUGUAAUGAAGCUUCAAUCAAUGAAAUAAAUACUUUUAUGAAUAAUUUUGUCGCUCGCUUUAUGAUUGAUCUUGAAUCUUUUUUAUGCUAAACAAGAUUGUCAUACAUGAUGUAAAUCAUAAGCCAAAGUAACAUCGAUGAGAGCCGAAGAUAUUUAUAAACUUUAAUGAGACAUAAGUAGCUUGAAAUAAGGACUGCAUUGAGUGUUUCUUUAGUAACAUGACUUACGAUAGUACAUCCUUAACUUUUUAGAAUUUCAAAUCUGAGGUAUAGGAGUACUAUCCAGUUCUUCAAUUUGAUAGGAUCUCAAUCAAAUCACUUCAGUAAUUCGAUAGGAUCCUUCCCAGUUCGGGACUAACUUAUCUUGCUCGAUAGAUUUGGCAACCUUAGAUGAGCAAAUGAUAAGGUCGCCGCAUCUAAAGGACUUUGGCUUCAUCCUAGAGUUGUAAUAGCGAACCACUCUUUAUUGAUAAGAAGCCAUUCUAACUCAAGCUUGAUCUCGAACUUCUUUGAGAAAGUCGAGUUCGACGUGGAGAUGAUCAUAAUUUCUUGCUCGCCGUAGUUCUCCAUCCUAUGUGAUGGUAAACAAAUCUCCAAUAGGAUGAUAGCUUCUACGUCAAAGGCUAGCUUGAAGGGUAUUUCAUCAAUUGAUGUUUGGAGUAUCAUUCAGUAUGUCCAUAGCAUGCUAUAGAGUUCAUCAACCCAGAAUCUUUUAACUUGAUCUAGUCUCUUUUUUAAUCCUUAUAGAAUAGUCCGAUUCAUGAUGUUGGCUUCUCCAUUUAAUUGAAAAUGUUUGAUAGAAGUGAACUGAUAUUCGAUGUGAAAUUUAGAGUAGAAUUUUUUGAACUUUAUGUUAUCAAAUUAACGGCUGUUAUUGGUUAUGAUCACUCUUGAAAGAUUAAAUUGGCGUAUUAUUGACUUUCAGAUGAAAUUUCUGAUCUUCUAUUCGAUGAUUUGUACCAAAAGUUCAGUCUCCAUCUACUUUGUGAAGUAAUCAAUGGUCACAAUAAGAAAUCUCUUUUAAUAUAAUACCAUCAAAAAAAGAUCGAGGAUGUCCAUGCCCCACAUCGCAAAAGUUCAAGAAAAUGAGAUAGGAAUGAGUUGGUAUGCCAACUUUCGCUAGAUGUUUGCAAAUUUUUGACCUCGAUCAUAUUUUUUGAUGAAAUCCUCUGCAUCUUUCUGCAUUAAAGGCCAGUAGUAUCCUUGAUAGAGAACUUUGUGUGCUAGUGAUCUACUCUCGAUGUGGUAGCCACAGAUGUCUUUAUGGACUUUUUGAAGUGCAUAAUCAGCCUCGGAUGGUCUUAGACAUUCAAGCAAUAGUAUUGAAAAUAACUUCUUAUAUAGUUGGCCAUUGAGAAGGAUAUACCACAGCUCUUGCUGUUUAAUUCCUCUAGCCUCCUUUCGAUCAUCUGGAAUGGUGCCAUUGCUUAAGUACCCAAUCAAUGAGUCCAUCCAGCUUGGCUCAUUAUUGAUUUAGUUAAUGUUUGUGGCUUCUUCAAUGCUUAGGAUGUCUAGAUACUCAAUGUAGAUCUUCCGUCUUAGAUCGGUAGAAUUAGAAGUGGCUAGAUAGGAAAGUAUAUCAGCUCAGACAUUCUUCGAUCUUGAUAUUCUUUGAAUAUCUAACUCUUUGAAGCUUGUGGUGAGAUCCUUUAUCAUUUAAAGAUAUUUGGAUAUUGUGGGAUCUUUGGCUUCAUAUUCAUCUCACACUUGACUCACGAUAAGCUGAGAAUCAAAGAAUAUCUUGACUUUCUCUACACCAAGCUCUUUGAUGAAUUUCAAUAUGAUGAUGAGGGCUUCAUACUCAGCUAUAUUAUUUAUUGUACUGAAAUUGAACCUCAAUACAUACUCGAUAAUGACUCCAUCUAAGUUGGCGAUAAUUAGACCUGCACCACUUUCUUAGAAAUUUGAAGCUCCACCCACAUGCAGAAUCUACCAGUUGUCCCUCGUGCCGAUCUCUGAUUCAGAAGUAUUUAAACUUGGUUUUUCUUUAGGGAUUAUGAACCCGACGAUGAAGUCCGUCGGUACUUGUAUCUUUAUUGCUGUACGAGAUCAAUAAUCGAUGUCGAACUCUCCAAACUCGAUUGUCUACCUCGUCAGACGACCAGAUAUAUCCAAUCUCUAGAGUAGUACUUUUGAUUGAUUAGCACAACAACUGUAUGAGCCUAGAAGUACGACCGAUGAUGUUUGCUUGUGAUGACAAGUGAGUAAAUUAUUUUCUUGAUUCUAAUAUACCUGAUUUCUGCAUCUCUCAAGACUUUAUUAGUGUAAUAGAUCAACUUUUAUACAUCGACUUUUUUUUAGAUGAGAAUCGAACUUAUUGCCUAUGAGAUGAAAAUACAUAUACAACUUCUCACCUUCAAUAGGCUUUGACAGAAGGGGUGCCGGUCUGAGAUACUUUUUGAGGCUUUCAAAGGCAGAUAGAUACUCUUCCUACCAUUCAAAGUUCUUUGCUUACUUUAUUACUUUGAAAAAUGGAAGAUACUUUUCAACCGAUCUAGAUAUAAAUCGGCUUAGUGCUUCCAUCCUUCCAAUCAAGCAUUGGACUUCUCUUUUAUUAGUCGGAUGCUUCAUCUCUGUAAGUGUUUGGAUCUUCUUCAGAUUUGCUUCAAUUUUCCUUUGGGUCACCAUGAAGUCCAGAAAUUUCUCAAAAUUUACUUCGAAUGUGCACUCGUUUGGAUUCAACUUCAUUUGGUAGCGCUUGAGUUCAUUAAAUGCUUCAUUGAGAUUGACAAUAUGCUAAUUAGUUUCCACACUCUUGACGUGCAUAUCAUCCACAUACACCUCUAUAUUGUGACCGAUCUAUUUCUUAAAGACUUUGUUGACAAGGCACUGAUAGGUUGCAUCUAUAUUUUUCAAUUCGAAUAGCAUCAUUUUAUAAUAGUACAGCCCUCUUUCAGUUACAAAGGUUGUCUUCUCUUUAUCUUUUGGUACUGUCCAAAUUUGGUUAUAAUUAGAGAAUACAUCUAUAAAGCUUAGAAGCUUAUGAUUCAAAGUAGCAUCAACCAACUGAUUGAUUCUUGACAAGAAGAAGCUAUCCUUACGACAAGCCUUAUUUGGAUCGGUGUAGUUAAUACAGAUCCUUCACUUACCAUUAGCCUUCUUUACUAUAAUCACAUUGGUGAUCUACUUCGGAUAAUGUGCUUCUUGAAUGAAUCCUAUCUUAAGAAGUUUGUCGACUUCUUCCUCAAUCAUCUUUUAUCGCUCUGAUGCAAAACUUUUUUCUUUUGCCAAACAAGAUGAUGAUGAGACUCAAUAUUCAGCUUAUGUGUAAUGACUUUGGAAAAAAUAUCUGGCAUGUCGGAUGCCAACCAAGCAAACACAAUGACAUUUACAAGAAGAAAGUCAAUUAACCAUUCCUUGAGAUGCAUUGGUGGAAGACUUCUGAUCUUGACGGCUCAUUCAGAAUCAUCUCCUAGUUGAACUUCAAUGAGCUCUUCUUUUAGUUCACCUUAGCUUUCAUCUUCAUCCUUUCUCAAAUCUAACUCUUCAAUUAGCAGAGUUUUCUUAGUCUUGUUUCCUUGGAUAAUUGCCAUGAAGCAUUAUCUUGCAAGUACUUGAUCACCCCUCAUUUGUCCGACUCUGUUCUUGGUUGGAAAAUGGAUGAGCAGGUGAUAUAUUAAGAUAAUGACUCUCAAAGCAUUUAAUCCAGAUCAUCUUAGGAUCACAUUAUAUGCCGAGGGUAUUCGGACGAUAAAAAAAUUGAGCAGCAUAGUUGCUUACUGAGGUGAUUUUCUCACGAUCACUGGCAAUUCUAUUUCACCUUCAAAGGCUAGUGAAUUACCAGUGAAUCCGACCAACAGUGCAUGAUUUCGCUUGAGUCAUUCUUUGGACAACUUCAUUCUUUAGAAAGUAUCAUAAAACAAGACAUCAGUAGAGCUUUCAUUAUCUAUGUAAAUUUUUUUUACAUCAUAAUUUGCUAUUGUCAUUGAAAUGACAAUAGCAUCAUUGUGAGAAGUUUGGACUCUGCCUACAUUUUCAUCAGAAAAAGAAAUAAUAUCAUUGAAAGAAGAGAAGUUUGCUUCUCUGAUUCAUCCCUUUUUCUAGGCGGACCCUUCAACUUUUUCCUCUCAUGCCCCUCUGCAGCUAGCAUGUCCCGAGAUAAUGUUGAUUAUGCCAGCCAUCGAGAGAUUGCCGCGGUUGUUGUCCAUAUCAGUAUUCGCCUGACAUGGUUCUUCUACUGGGCCUUUUCCCUUGUUCUGGACAUACUUCCUAAGGUAUCCCUGGUAAAUUAGAUCUUUAAUCUCAUCCUUCAGCUGACAAUAUUCUUCAGUGUCGUGACCAUGAUCUCGAUGAAAGCAGUAAUACUUCAUCUUGUCCCUUUGGCUCGAUGCCGCUCUCAUCUUCCCAGCUUGACGUAUGUAUUCUUGGCCUUCGAUCUCCAUCAAGAUCUCAGCAUGUGAGAUGGAGAGCGGAGUGUAGUUGUAGAAGCACCUUAGGGGACUCUUCGUCCUCUGAUGCUUCUGGGGGUGGUUGUUCCCACCUUCUUUUCGAGCAUCGCUAUCUUCUUCGUAGGCUCUCUUUUUGCUACCAUUCUUCUUCCUUUCUUCCUACCGAUGAAGGGCCUCACUCUCUUUAGCUUGUGCAUAUUUUCGAGCUCGAGUGAGGAGAUCGACGUAGUCUUUUGAAAAAUUCUUAUUGAGAAAGAAGAUGAGGUGUUCAUCUUUGAGUCCUCAUUUCAUCGCCAACAUGGUGACGGACUUGUGGAAGUCAUGGAUUUCAAGCGUGACGGCAUUGAAACAUGCAACAUAAUCUCUCAGUGACUUUCCUUCUCUUUGUUUAAUGGAGAAGAGGCUGUCAUUGUUAUUCGGCUAUGGUCUUUGGCUGUCGAAGUGCAUGACGAAUUGCAUUUCCAGCUGCUUGGAGGAAUGGAUUGAUUCUUGUGCGAGGCUGGAGAACCAAACUCUCAUAUUUUUCUUAAGAGUCAUUAGGAAGGUAAGGCAGAGGAGGGUGUCGGAUGCAUUCUGUAGCAUCAUAAGAACUUUAUAUCCCUCCUGAUGGUCGAAUGGAUCGGUUGAGUUAUCAUAGGGUUCAACCUGCGGGAUCUUGAACCAAUGUAAGAUCAGUUCACUCAGAAUCUCCCGAAAGAAUGGUGGUUGGGUGUUGAAGUUAAGACCAUCAUUCUAUUGAUGACCUCUCUAUUAGAACUCAACAAUCCUACAUUCCAGCUCCUGAACCUUCCUCUCGAUGUUGUCUCCCCACCGAAAAUAAUGUCAACACAGAGGGGCUUGAGGUGGAGUCCUCUUUGGAGGGCUUCGACGAUUGAUUUUUUUUAUCAUCUCUUCUUGGGCUCCAAGGGUGUUGUGGCAAGCAGCGAGAAGCUAGUUCGGCCGAUCAUGAUCAUCGAUAUGAGACUUGAGCUAUAUUUGAGUACCGGUGCUCUCGUUCGGAUCCUUCUACAUGGAUCCAGCAGCUGCAUUGAGAUGGAGUUGCCGGAGGAGCUUGUGUCCUCACUGCACUGUCCUGCUGUAAUUGCUGUACAGUAGUUGCAAGCGCUUGGACUUGCUCUGCAAGCGUAUUGAUCGGGUCCAAAUGAACGGCAGUGAAUUGUCUAGGAGAUUGUUCCCCGACAGUUUGUACAUUAGAUGUGUUGUGCAGAAAUAACUGCCGGCAUAACAUGGUGAGGUGGUUUUGCAAUCAAGUUCUCACCAUCUUUCUUCAAAAAAUGGGGCAAUAGGACCAUCCUUCUUCUAAUGCCAAUCUAUUACUGCAUCUCUCCGAUGAGGUUCGACAUGUCAAGGCAACUCGGAUUGACUGCCUAGCUGGAGUACGGCAGGCGCCAAUCUAGACUCUGAGUAUCUGUAAAGAAAGUUCACUCAAAUUGGAGAAAGAGAUGAUAGGUUUUUUGAUGGAAGAUCUUUCGAUGCUUAAGUCUGAGAGUGACGAAGCGGGAGAACAAUAAAAAAAAAUAGUGAGAGUGCUCAAAGAGUGUAAAUAAUCUCCCUUUCUUUUUUUAUUAGAAAAAUUUAUUAGGUGGUUAGUAGCCUUUCAGAUCAGAGUAGUGGGUCAUUGGCAAGUGUCAGCAGUCGGUUACGAUUAUCAGUAAUUGAUUAUAGAACCAGCUGUCCACGUUUGGGUGACAAGCGUUACUAUUAUAACUGAAUGCCAACUCUAUUAUCGUCCGCGCGCCAGUAGCUUUCCGUAGAACCGUAGCAUAGCUAGUAGAGAAUUAGGGCGUCAAUGAAGUGAGAUUGGCCGAAAGCCGAUGGUGCAGAUUUCAUCCAAAGUCGGAUCUUAUGUGGUCGGUCAUCCACCGAUAACAUCAUUGUUGUGUAGAGCACAAGUCCUAGAUUGUCCAUAUUAUAAUGCCAGAUGUCUGCCACGUCUUUAAAGAUCGAAUAUGUCAUCAGAUGGAUCAAAUUUGGCCCAAUAAUAUCAUAUCGAUUUUCUUGAUGCAAUCUAAUCCAAUACAACCGCCAUAUUUUGAUCUUCCUUCGAGACCAUAGCAGAAACACGAAAAGUAUCUCGCGGGGCAGCUUCUCAUAUCCAUCUACUCCUCAUCAGAUGAGUUAUUUAGCGUUCAAAACCGAAAGCUUGCUCCAUACAAGAUGAGUCCUUGCGUGUUCAGAAUUGAAGACUCUGCAGGUGCACCAUGUGGAAACCAAUGUGGCUAAAAGCAAAUAUGUGGAUGCUAAUGUCCCACGACAAGUAGAUGCAAAACGGCAGCAAAGUACAAAUCUUAGAGCGACAUAACAAUAUACACGAGUCAUCAUCAACAAGAUUGAUGUUAAUGCACCAGGCUCAUCUGGCCACGUUUGAUCGUUGACAACGACAUCGUCUAGAACCUAUCCAUCUCCAGAUCUCCACCAUCCGAUCUAAAUCACGCGGUCCAUUUAAAAAGUAAACGUGGCAGCGCACAAAGGGAAAAGAAAUAUAGUACUCUCUCUUCCCCGUAUAGCCGUCACUACCCAAAUCCAUUGGUCAGAACUCACAAGAUCCCAAAACUAACUCCUGAUAUAAAUUCCGGAUGGACCGGAUAUCAUAAUGAGAUUUCUUUUCCACUCUAGCUACCACCUCCUUUCUUGACUUCUUCUAUGUGUCCUUUAUCUAAUAUCUUAAGGGAUCUGCCCAUAGAAGAAAGAGACUUCCAGAUAAAGUAAUUUUUUAUUCUUGCUUAUACCAAUCAUUCCAAUCCAGCUCUUCAUACCAAUAAUAGUUUCAUUUCAAUUGAGAUUUUGGAGUUGGGCCCUGACAGGUUGGUUUCUGCCGGGAACUGGAUUGGAGGAAGAGAGUGAUCAGAAGAUAAGAAGGGAUUGUGGGGGUAUGGCAAUGCCAUGGGGCUUGGCUGUGUACAUAAUGAACAUGGUGUGGAUGAUUCUCGAUGGCUGGAUCGCAUCGUGUGUGACGGUCGCCGAUGAGAUUGCCCGGGCACUCAGGACCGGCGAAAUCGGUCCCUUCCCCGUCGCAUGAAUACCUGAUCAUUACCAAGCUCUGUUCAGGUCUGGUUCAAAUCCUUUAUUUGUUCUUUAUAUAUUUUUGAGUUCUUUCAUUCUUCUAUGCGUUUGGUUGGUGAACUAGACUUUCCUAUGAUUGUUUUUGCAUUCCUUGUUGAUUAUGGCAAAAGAUAUGCUCCGGUUUCGGUGCAAUUGAAUUGUGGUUGUUGAUUAGUUUGAUCUGAUAGGAAGGAGAUGAUCGACCACUGAGAGAUUUGAUAUAAAACAGCAGGCUAUACAUGUGUUUGUUGAGAGUAUUAAUUUCUCCAAUAAGCAGCUGAUAAUUUGAUGGUGUGAAGGAAGUGCCUCACCAUUAGUGCCUCUAUAAUUUGGCAGUAGUUCCAGGCGUUUGGUUAAACCAACAAUGGAGAAACAAUGUAACAGAGAGGUUAUGUAUGAUAUGAUGGAGAUGUUUUAUAAUAAGUUUUUCAAUCCAUCAUUCUUGCUUUUGGGUAAUGAUGCUUUCUGUAGACUGCACCAGAUUUAUAAUAAGUUUUUCGAUCCAUCAUUCCUGCUUUCUUGAAGGUUAUGAGAGACAGAGAGAGAGCUCUUAGGACAUUGAUGUGGAUGGUAAGCUGCAGAUUUGGACAGAUGUUUCAGUUGGAGCAUGAAUAAAUGAAAAAUUUGCAGUAGAUUGGUUUUGAAGACCGGUUUAUUUCAGAACUUUUACUGCCGAAUGAUCAUUUACAGGUUGUAGAUGUGACUGGUUAUCAAAUUAUCAGAUCAAGAGGUAGUGUUGAGUUCUCUAAUUAUUGGCAUUUCUUUAAUUAAUGGGGCCUGCUAUAGGUAAAUUGGAUGUAUGGAACUAAAAUUUUAUUUAGAGAUUGAAACUGUCCAUGUUGGCCUAGGAACAGGGGAUGCGUUUGCAAAGUGGAUCUAGCUGAUCUUAAACAGGACACUUAAGAAUAGAACUCAGCAUAUGAUGUAAAUGAAUAAUUUUAAAGGAAGAGGAAAAGGGGAAGAAGAACUUUUUAAUAUAUAAAUGUUAUCUUGUUUGCAGAUGAAAUGUUUAUGACAAGAAAUUUUCUUUUCUUCACUGUGAGUUUUAUCAUUUAAUAUUCUGUGAUUUAAUAGGUAUACUCCCAUUUUUCCUGUUGGACUUAUCUAGUUUUUCAUUAUAAAACGUUAAAUGGAGACAAUCAUGAUGCAUAUGUAUAAAAGAGUUGUUGUUAGAGGUAGGCUUUAUCAUCUCACACAAAUUCUAGUCAGGGAGGUACACUGGCAUUUUACAUGUGGUUGAUUGUUGAUUAGAAAACAAUUUUAUAUAGUAAUUGAGCUAUCUAAUGGAUGGGUAAAUCACAUGUCAAAGAAUGAUUUUAAUAGGGGGAAAUUAGGAUGUUAAUUUUGUUUAAUUCAGAAAAAAGAAAAGAAAAGAAAAGAAAAAGAAACUAAAGAGAGAACCCACCAAAGCUUACAGGAUGAAAUGUAGUAAUCGUCUAAUGUGUCAGUUUAUAUCUAUCAGAUUAUAUAAUACAUCCCAUAUGUUCGACUUCACUAGACUGUUAGAGUCUAGGGCAUUUUAGAACAUCAUGUUUCAAUAUGUAUUAAUUGCAACCUUCUUGAGUGAAAUGUGUAUUGCUAAUGAUCAUUUGCCAUCUCUUCAUGCCCCGGAGUAUUUAAUAAUACAGAUAUACACAAUAUUUCAUGGUGAAAAAUGUUGAUUCUAUUGAUCUUCUUUUUACCUAAGUUUUUUCCCUAAAUAUAUAGUUUUGUAAGAUAUGGUUUUAUAAUAUCAUUUGUGAUUCAUUAGUUUCAAAAUCCAUAGAAGGAUAAAAAUUGCAUCACUUCAUGGGGCAUUUUGCUCAACUUCUUUAUAUUUUUUCUUGCAAAAAAAUGUUGCUUUAAUACAGUUUUACCAUGCUUAUUUUUGUUGGUACAGAUAGAUUGGUUGCAUUACAACAAUACCUCAAAAUGAAGAACAGACAUUGCUUGUGAGAUUUUUUUAUCAGAAAUAAAUAAUAAAGUCAACCAUGCUGCUCAUUGAUGGGAGCCCACGAACUGAUUCAGCACAGAUGGUGAUGACAUCUUCGAAGAAGGCUUUCAAAAAGAUCAUGAAGUCGGUGUUAACCUGUUCUUUUUAUUUAUUUUUUUAUUUUCUUUUUAUGUAAAGAUGGGCGUGUAAGAUGGUGCUUAUUCCCUUUAUUUUUUCAAUUAUUCAAAAUACCAUCCAAUAAGCAAAAAAUAAUAUAAGCUUAUUGGCUGGCUCUAUGUGGUCUUUUUUUUUUUUUUUUUUGGGAUAAGAAAAAAUUGUGCUUAAUAAAUAUGUGGAAUUUAUAUGGUCCAGGUUAUAACGUAAAUGUCCCCAUAUAAAUGAAUCAUACAAAAGAUCAUUAGGAGUGGCUGAAAAAAUCCAAUGAUUAAAUGAUUACAGAGAAUGGAUUUUAUUUUUUUUCAUCUAUUAUCUUUUGAAAAGCAUCCUCUCUUUUUUCAGUAAAAAAUUCUCCUGACAAAGCAUGGUGUGGCAACAUUAUUUCUAGUUGUGAAUGUCUUUGAGAGUAUAAUGAGAUCAACUUUGUCUUAUUUAUUAUUGUUUAAGAUUUAUGAUCGGCUUAUAUCUUUCGGUUGCUUCCUUACUUGAAUGUAGCGGCUAGUGUAGAUAGAGCUGUGAAUGGCAUCUCUUUGUUUAAAAUAAUUGGAUUGAGGUCCAAAAGUUGGAGUUUUUUUUUUUUGGAUGGAGGAGUGGGUAGGGGCAGGUCAGUAAUUGAAUCAACUUGACAAUAUGAUUAAAAAUAUUAUAGCCAUCGAUAAUAUAUAUCUAAUAUAAUAAUAUAUAUAUUGCAUUUGUACUUCCUAUAUGAAAGGAAUGGUCCAUUUUUAUAUAAAUUAGAAUCUCCCUUGACUCACAACACUCUUUAUUUUUAUCAUAUCUGGUGCAUUACUGUUACGGUCAAGAGCUCGUGGCUUAGUACAUGAGGUAUUGUUCACUCUAGCUCAUGGGUCUUACGAUUUUACCCUUCAAAAGAUAUCUGGCAUGAAAAUGAUAGUUCUUUCUUAUAUGAAUUUUCAUUGACUCAACCAAUGUAAGACUAAUGAUGCCUCUCUUCUGCACCACAACAUUAUCAAUAGUUAGUUUUAUCAGUACAAAUCAUUUAUUGAAUCACUAGUCAACAACAAAUAUUCAAUAAAUCAUGUGAUUCAAAGAAUUAAAAUCUAAUUUUAUCAAAAAAUGAUCUUCAGUUUCCUAGAAUUAACAUCUAGUAAGAUUUAUAGGGAUGAGUAGAUAGUUAUGAAUAUUAGCUUUUUUUCUUUCAUCCACAAAAGCUCUUUGGCAUCUCACAAGAGCUAGUUAUUAACUUAAUUUAGUAGUUUUAACAUAUUUUAAGGGGUUUGGAUUGUAUCUUUCACGUGAAAGAAUGAUUCACUUUUUUUUUGUGAUAUACAUCAGUGGAUCGUGCAAUAGCCACUACGAGAUCUAUGCAAACAGAUGAAAGUGAGGGUUCAUAGUGGUUUGAGAUCUGUACAAAGCAUGAUCUAAUAGUUGAUAUUGUGAUAGAAGAUCAAUCAUUCUUUCCUAUGAAAGAUACGACCCGAACCCUAUUUUAAGUAUAUAUAUAUAUUUUUUGGUGGAAUACAGGAUUCAUAGGAACAGAACAAAGAAAGAAGAAAACUGAGCUUUAAACAUGCACCCCAAAGUAUCAGGACCUUUGACAAGCAACACCAUAAUCAUCGGCAUGUAACAAAUUCAAAAGCUCCCAGUGAAUUGUCUGCCCACAGAAAUUUUUUUUAAAAAGAAAAUUCUUCUAAGGCUCUCCCUGUCAGCCAGCCAGCCACUUGGUUCCCCUCCCUUCUAAUAUGAGAAGUUUUAAUUGUUUGCAAGCUUGAUAUCCAGGCCUUCAAAUCUUUCAAAAUAGGAUCAGCAUCAUACCUGCAGGGAGUUUCACAUUGAAGCCACUUUAUUAGAGUACUUGAGUCUCCCUCCAGCCAUAUUUGGGUAGCAUUGCAAGAGAAGAGAGCAUGAUACAUCCCAACCAAGCACCUUAUAAUUUUGCCGCAAUAACAGAAUAAGAAGAAGGUAAUUGUUUACCAGCAGCAAAUAAAAGAGUCCCAAACUGAUCUCUGAUUACACUGGCAGCAGAUGUUUUAUUUCCUGUCCUGGCUCCGUCAGAAUUAACCUAUGGGACUCCAAGGGGAGGGGCUAUCCAAGUAAUGAUAUUUGAACCCAGUGUCUGCUGGCGGAAAAAAGGAUUAGCCCAGUUCCUUGACUGAGUUCCAAAGGUACCAGUUUUAAUAAUAAUAAUCUGAUCAUCGUGAUGCGUAUAUACCAUUUUGAUUAUGCGCUUGGGGGGGAGGUUUGCUGUUGGAAGAGUCUUUGAUUUCAUACAAACCAAAUCAUGGAGGCCAUAUAAGCAUAAUCAGAUGUUACCCCCUCCUCUACCUCGGCUUUGAUAAAAAAUGCAACCAAACCUAGCAAAGAAUCAAGUAUAGAACCUGUUUUUAGACAGUUAUUCAAGGCUCGCCAACAAUACUGUGCCUAGUGACAAUUAAUUAUAACAUAUUGAACAUUUUCCUCCAUAUGUAUACAUAAAUCACAAUUUACCUUUUGGGCUGAAAUAAUACCCCUAUCAUUCAACAAGGAUUCGUAAGGAAGCCUUCUCCAAGCUACUUUCCACCAGAAGAAUUGCACCCCCAUUGGUCCCUCCGAGAAAAUUUUCAUUGCAAUGGUGAUACCAUGUCAAACUUGCAAUAACCCAAUCAAAAUUUUGGAAUUGGUGGGGCAGUGUAGAUAUCAUCAUGUGAAUCGGUGAAAUACACAGCAAUCGAUGAAAUACAAGAGUUCUCAUUGGGUUGUGAUAAAUUCGACGUGGUAUCACCAUUGCAACGAAGUUUUUCCCAUUCCCUUCAGCUUCCAGACCCACUUGAAAUGAGCACAUACCUUCAUUUUCUACCAACUUACACAUUUCCUUUGGAGGCACAUGGAAAGCCCUGGUGGCAUCCCAGCACAACUGAUCAGACCAAACCCCUCUAGGUAAAGGAAUACAAGAAAUCUCGUUCAUCAUCUCAGUGCUAAAAGAAGCAGCCAGCCGAUCCAAAUCCCAGCACCUGUCAUGGGUGAUAGAAUCAACCACUUUCAUGGUGUCCCAGUUUGCAUCCACAUUAAUAUAUGUUGGGCACAAACACAAAGAGGUGGAGUUUAUCCAAAGCUCCGAGUAAGCAUUCAAAUUACUCUCAUCAGCUAGAACCCAUUGAAUAUGACACCGAACCAUGGCACCAUAGUAACGGAUUUUCCUCCAUAUUAUAGAGGCCCUCCUUGGUUUCAUCAUACCUGACCCAUUGUCCCUGAAAAUUGUACUUAGUACUUACCAUCUGGGACCAUAACAAAUGAGGGUUUAAAGCUACUUGGGCUGCUAAUUUGCAUAACAUAGCCUGCUGCUUGGUUCUCAGCGAGUGUAAGCCUAACCCACCAUUUUCUUUUGAUUGGCAAAUAACCUCCUAGGAGAGCAAAUGGAGCCCAUGGUGACCUGAUUAAUGCCCCCAUAAAAAUGCUCGAAGCUCCUUUUCCAUGUUUUUGAUCACCGACAUGGGAACAACAACUAAAGACAUGGCAUAGAUAGGAAUGGAGGAUAGAACCAAAGCUACAAGGGUUGCUCUGCUAGAUUGUGACAAAGCCUUCCACUUCCAACUAGCCAGUUUACCUCCCAUCCUAUCCAUAAGAAAGUUAAAAUUAUUCUUCUUUAGAGGCUACCUGAUAUAGGCACCCCAAGAUAAUUCCAAGUCCCAUGCUUAAUGGCCAUCUGAAAUACAUAUCAAAUUUGAGCCUUGAUGGUUGACCUUGUAGCUAGACUGAAAAUGAUAUGGGAUUUUGUUGUGUUGAUCGCUUGUCCAGAUAUAGCACAAUAGGAUUCAAUUAGAGCUUUCAAGAAGACUGCAUUUCUGAUUAUAGCUUUAGCAACAAGCAAACAGUCAUCAGCAAAUAAUAGAUGAGAGAUGGAUGGGCCAUUUGGAGAAGGUUAAUAAAUUUUUAACAUUUGACUUGGAACAAAGGUACUUUUUUGCACUAUAAUUCUUGUCAUAAAGCAUGGUCUUCAAAUUUCUAGAGUUAAAAAUUGAUAAUGUCUAUGGAAAUAGUUUAAAAUAUUAUAAAUGCCUUAGUAUGACAAAUCAAGAAGGGUCUCAUUGGGGUAGAUUAGAAUAUAGGAUCUAAAUGGAUGUCAAUUGGUCUGGUUGAUAAAGCUACUAAGGAUUGAGCAUCAACAAUUUAAAUUUUACUCUAGUUUGCAAUACUUCAAAUUUAUCAUCUCAAGAAAUUGACUUGGGGUUCGUGUACCCCUUGCCUAUUUUCAGAGAGAGAGAGAGAGAGAAAGCGAGAGUAUUCUAAGAGGCAUCACAAAACCAACCAAUAAGUCUAGAUUUUAUUCAAUUUCUAAAUCUCAAUGGGUCAAAUUAAAUUAACUAUUUGCAUGCUGAUGAUCUGGAUGGUUUGGGCGGAAGAUAGAUUGUCUGAAUUAAAUAUAGAUUUCCCUCUUAGUGAUGUGAUGGAGCUCAAAACAUGUUGGUAUGGCCAGUUAUUUUUGCUUUAUUGAUAUUACAUGUUCAUUCAUUUAAUUAAGAUAUGAAGUAUAUGCUUUGAAAUCAAAAUUUGCUGCCCUUAUAGAUGAUUAUACCGUAAAUUUUUUUUUGGUAGAACGACUGUACCAUAAAUUGAAGUACAAUGUUCAUUGGUAAUACUAAUUAUGCUAUAAAUUGAAAGAUGAUAAUAAUAAUUUGCCCUCAUUACAUAAUAACAAGAUUUUAGAAGUACAAAAAUGGAGGGUUAACUAUAAAUUGAAUUUAGUAAUAAUGUGAUUAAAAAUAUGAUAUAAAAUAAUCUUUUAUUAGACAUAUUAUUUAGAUGAUGGAUUAAAGGUUUACUCUUUAUUCCAAUACUUGGUUCUGCAAAAUUUUUUCAGAGCCUAUCCUUUGUUUUUUAGGAAGGCAAGAUUUUGAUCCAUUCUCUUCUUCUUUGAUCCAAAUACAACACCACUCUAAUCCCUCUUUUUAAGAAUGACAACAUUAGGGAAAAAAGAUACGAGAGAGAUCCCCCUAUUCCAUUUGUAAUAUAUGAUAUAAAAUUAUAUUUUUAUUUAUUUCUGAAUAUGCAAUGUUAAAAGUAAUUGUCUGCACCAAUAUUAUUGACCAAAUACUAUUAGAUUAAAAUACUUGAAGAUAAUAUCUUCAAGAGGUAUAAAAAAAUAAUAGAAUAUAAUGGGUACAUUUAUUGUUAGGAUGCAUUAAAUGUUAAAGAGAUUUGCAUGGGGCAUGAGAAACCAAAAGCGGUAAUGGCUUGCUUCCUUUCCUUUCACUCCCAACAAGGAAAACCAUGCAGUCUCUCCCUAACUCAUUGGUUAAUUCGUAAUUUCAUAACCUAAUAAACCACUCUCUUUUUC